UGCAUUAAUUCCGCAGUGACGAUUGAUGGAGUAGUGCCGUAUUUGCGAAUCUAGUAGCUGGUCUAGUGUUAAUAUCCAGAUCGACUCUAGUACUACCUCCGUCCCGGUGUAUAAGUCAUUCGCGUAGUUCUAGGUCGAUAAUUUAACUAUCUAAAUAUGUAUUAUAUGUGACAAAAAAUAUAUAUUUAGAAACUACAUCCGUGUGGAAAUCUAGUGGUAUACUUUUCAUGACAUAUAACACAUAUUUAAUUCCUCAAAUCGAUGACCUAGAACUACGCGAAUGACUUAUACACCCGGACGGAGGGAGUAUUUGGGCUAUGCUUUGCUUGCUAUAUAAUUAGACUGGAUGGAUUGUGGCUAUCUUCGAUGUAUUCGACCUUAAUUUUCUCUAUAUGUGAUCGUCAGACAUGAGUUAUAUGCUUAUUUAGCACCAGCUUCGGUAUAAUCGAUGCUGCUGAAAUUGCUGCCGUGUAUAUCCAUGUUGCUGCUUUGUAUAAUUCGACCUUUAAGUUUCACAGUCUUCCCAACCAAACAACUUCAGAAGGGAAAAUGUGUAGACCCUUUUAAGUUAUUUGCUCGAAAAAAAGAGAGUAAAUACAUGGAGCUAACUUUGCAGUGUAUGUGAGCGCCCCAUUACAAAUACGUGGGCAAUCCCAAAUAUGUAGGCACGAGUUGAGUCCAACUGACAAGUGUAAUUCCCACAUAAAUACAGUUUACAUAGAGCUAUUGAUGGAUGACCCCACCGAUGUAUACAUGCAGAUAUUGUGCACCCAUGUAGGCUAAUGGUCUAGACAUAAUUAGCUCCCCUUCCCACCCGAUGACUCUGAUUCGCUCCAAGGAUGGGAGUAGGUGACCUCUCGGAUGGUCGGGAGGCCAACAUUUUCGUCGUUGUUCGUGAAGUAGAUUGGUUCGCCGAUAUUGCUUUCCUCGUCGUUCGUGAAGUAGAUUGGUUCUCCGAUACAGCUUUCGUCGUCAGAGAUCGACACGACAUCGACUACGUUUGUACUGUCGCUGGUGGUGAAGCUGGUGACGAUGCAGUCCUCUGGCGUGUGGCCGAUGAGGCAGUUGCCGCAGACAAUCGCGACGAGCUGAGAGGUUUGCGCGGGCCGCUCUGGGCAUAUGAAGCCGGAGCAACCCCGAGCCCCCGUUAUCCGGGGAGAGGGCUCCGCCCACUUGUUGCCGUUGUAAGGUUCCGACGCCCAUGGCGAGAGAGUUUGGGGGCCAGAUUGUAUGGAGGUUGGUGGCGUGGACGUUAAAGCCGUGGGCGACAUCAUGAUCUGUUGGUCUUGGGGCCUCCUCGGGAGAAUGCAUUUGUUGCCGGUGAUCAUGGCAAUUGUUGGGUUCACCUUGGUCGUGGUGUUUGGGUGGGCCGCUGGGUUGACAUUGACCCGGCCUGCUCCGUCAACGAUGAAGGUGAGAGAGCCUAAGAGGCUAAGAUUAGGCUUUCUCACGGCGAGAGGCCGCCGAGACACGAAGAAGAUCCGAUCUAAGACCAGUCUCCAGCCGACACCACCCGUGCCUGGCGCGCCAACUGACGGUGCAAAAUACCGGCAGAUCCCUCGAUAGAGGUCCAAGCGCAGCUGGAAGUCUUAGAUCGGGAGAUCACACAAGGGUUUUACCUAGGUUCAGGCCUCCGAGGAGUAAUACCCUACAUCCUGCUUGUUUUGAUUAUUCAUGGUGGAGGAAUACCUUGUGCGAGGGGUUACAAUGGUGUAUGAGAUUGCUACCGAAGGUUUCUAUCUGAAAAUAGAUCGAAAAUGAGGGUUCCCUAGCCUCCCCUUGUAUAGGCGGUGGAGGACUAGGGUUGACGGAGUGGUAGAUGCGAUCACCUUCGCUGCUGCCCUUGUCUUGAAGGAUAAGAAGCUCUCCAGAGCCCUCCUUAGGGUUUCUCCCUUGUCUUGGGCCUUAUGGGCCCCUGGUCAAGCCUGGUCGGGCUCCCUUGGGUGAGCCACCCCCGGUGUAUGACAUCUUCAGAAAGGUAUUGUAAGCCAUAAAUACUUGCACGAUCUUCAUAUGCCCAUCACAAUCAAAAACACAAAAGAGAAAGUAAAGAGCGAUUGUAUGCCUAAUAAUAUCAGGUAGGAAAACUUUAAAGCGAGAGGCCACCAUCUUUUGUUCUUGAUUACGGAUAAUAUUUUAGUGGCUUACAUGUGCUUCCAUACAAUCAAGAACAAAAGAGAAAGUAAAGGGCGAUUGUGUGCUAUAAAACUAGAUAUUCACAAAGCUUAUGGCCGAGUUGAGUGGCCUUUUCUGAAGGAUAUUAUACCGAGUCUUGGUUUCCGUGAAAAUUUGGUAAAUUUUAUAUGCAACGCAUCUCAACAGUUGAAUGCCAAGUUUAGUUUAAUGCAGAGGAAAGUGAAAUUUUUAUGCCUAUAAGGGGGUUAAGGCAGGGUGACCCGUUGUCACCUUACCUAUUCUUAUUGUGCACGAAGGGGAUGACUGCUUUUCUCACACUCGCGGAGGAAAAUGAAAAUAUUUCAGGAGUGAAAGUCUGCAGAAAAGCCCCACCUAUUAUAAUUUUUUCUCAUUGCCGAUGACUCACUCGUUCUUAGAAAAAUUAACCUGCGCGGUGCGGAGGCUCUAAAAUCAGCUCGAGAAUCAUAUUGUGCGGCUUCGAGGCAAUUGGUUAGUGUUGAUAAAUCCAACAUCUUUUUUAGCUCUAUUACAAAGAUGGAGAUCAGAGAACAAAUAUGUACCAUGCGGAAUAUAAUGACUGAUGCCCUUAAUGAUAGAUAUUUUGGUCUUGCCAGCCAAUGUGGGAUUAGAUAAAAUCAUAAAACCGAUUGCUUCCAAUACUUAAUUGAAUGUAUUAUUAUGAAAAUCAAUGGUUGGAAGGAAAAAUUACUUUCUGCCAAAGGAAUGGAGAUCCUUCUCAAGUCUAUUUUUCAAGCCACCUACCUAUGCAAUGUAGGUCUUUAAAAUUCCUAAUUUUUUUGUGAAGGAACUAUUUAUGUAAUGGCACAUUUCUCGUGGGGAGAUGAGAAGAACGAGAGGAGGAUGCAUGGGAUGGCAUGGUAGAAAAAGUGUGUCCCUAAAAAGUGUGUACUACCUGUAAUGAGCUUGUAUUGAUGUAAAUUCUUACAACAAUUUCUUAAUUUUAUCCGCAUGUGAGAAACAUACCGUCAAUACUUAACAAUAUUUUCACUAUUGUCCUAUGAUCAACAAUUUGAUCAUUCUGAUAACUUUACUCACAACUAACUUGGAGUACUCGACAUAUCUGGUUGUUUACAUAACAUGGAAUACAAGUGUGACUGAAAUCAUAUAUUUCGCUCAUAAGUAUUCCAGGAACCGAUUCUCGCUAAAACUCUUUCCAUGUAACUUUGAAAAUAAACUCUUCUUGAUGUUUUUCAUAAUACAUUGUUUUAGUAUCUUGUCAAUAUGUAUUUUGGAUAAGCCCGAUUAGACACUACUAUCCCCAUAGAUCACUAUGCCUGAUUCCAAUGCUCUAUUGCCUAAGUACUUUAUUGAAAAACUAGUUUCAAUAAACUUUUAAUUCAAGUCAAGAAAUUUAUAUAAUUUCCAAUUAACAAUUUUUCAUGCACACACAAUAUUUAGAAAUAUUAUCACACUCCACUUACUUUCUUGUAAAUACAAGAAUCUUUGCAUUCCUCGACGAAAUCAAAUUAUUCGAAUACUCCAUCAAAACAAAGAUUCAAUUCCGUUAUGAUUUAUUCAUUCCAUUAUAGGAUCUCUUGAAGUUUGCACACUUACUAGCAUCCUCUGGAUCGAAAAACUACCUUGGACUGUAUCACAUAUACAACCUUGGUUCUAUUUCCAUCUCAUGGAAAUCAUUUUGACAUCCAUCUAUUAUAUCUCAUAAUUGAAAUUUUUAACAAUUGCAAGUUUAACCCUAACUGGCUUUAAGUUUUGCUAUGAUGAGAUAAUUUCGUUAUAGUUAAGUUCCUGAUCUUCUCAUAAGCUAUUAGUAACAAGUCAAGCUUUAUAAAUCAUUUUUUAUUUUAUUUUUCAGUUUGUAGAUCCAUUACUUUUCAUCAGACUCCAAGUCUUCUGGCGGGUUUACCAAGUUCUAAACUUGAAUUAUACAAAUGGAUAAUAUCUCGGAUAACUUUGGCAUAUAGCCAAUUUGCGGAGUUAGGGACCAUCAACACUUAUUUUUGUAUUAUAUAUUCAUUGUUUGUUCAACAAUAUUUCGUCUACACACCACAAAGGUCUAUAUGAAUUUUGCCCAACCUAUAUAGCUUAGCUGCAGGUUCGACCGAAGUCUCUACAUCUCAUGUAAAGACUUUUAUAUCAGUCGCAGUAGGAAAUUCUAGAAUCACUUCUAGCGUUUCUUUUCUUUGACCUGAUCACGAAGAUUCUGCAACCUUGUCGAGGUACAUUGUCCUCCCACUCACUCUUUUGCACAAAACGUUUUCUUCAAAAUUUCAGCACUAUGUGGGAAAACACUUUGCCUCGGUGUAGUGAUAGAGGAAUACCCAACAAUUUGGGAUAACCUCCAAAGUAGCACUUAUUUCAAAAAAUUUGAUAGCGCACCCGCGCAAUGACACUAAAGUAAAAAAGUAAAAAAAAAAUCUGAAACUUCAUGGAAUUUUUUAUGAGCAAAUGUUUUACAAAUUGCAAUGUUUGGUCCCCAAAUAACAUCGAAUGCUCUCCAUAUGAAAUGAAAUACAAUCUCUUGCUCUGCACCCACAUUUUAGAUUUUAUAUUUUAGCACAAACUUUGUUAUUUUAUACAAAGCUCUAGGAUUUCAUUUGGCCAUAAAAUUUUGCAAGCACCUAAAACAUUUGCUCAUAACCGGAUCCGCAAAGUUUCAGAUUUUUUUGAUUUGUUUUGCUAAGUUUUAGAUCAUGGGUGUACCGGGAAUGCAUUGUCCACGGGUGUAGUGUUGGGGAACGUAGCAUGCAAUUUCAAAAAAAUUUCUACGACCACGCAAGAUCUAUCUAGGAGAUGCAUAGCAACGAGAGGGGGAGAGUGUGUCCACAUACCCUCAUAGACCAAAAGCGGAAGUGUUAGAUUAACUUGGUUUAUGUAGUCGAACGUCUUUUGCAAGCACCAAACGUAUGACACCUCAGAGUUCUGCACACGUUCAGCUCGAUGACGUCCCUCAAACUCUUGAUCCAGCAAAAUGUCGAGGGAGAGUUUCGUCAUCAUGACGGCGUGGUGACGGUGAUGGUGAUGUGAUCUACGAAUUUUGCGCAGGGCUUUGCCUAAGCACUACGAUGAUAUGACCGGAGGAGUAAACUAUGGAGGGGGGCACCGCACACAGCUAAGAACAAUUGAUGUGCUUUGGGGUGCCCCAUGCCCCCGUGUAUAAAGGAGGAGGGAGGCCGCUGGCCCUAGGGGGCGUGCCAUGGGGGGGAACCGACUAGGACUCCUAGACCAAGUCGGUCCCCCCUCCUUCUCUUGGAGGUGCAAAGGGGGAAGGAGAGGGAGAGGGGGAAGGAAAGGGGGGCCGCACCUCCUUCCCCUUGUCCAAUUCGUACAGCCCAUGGGGGGGCGCGCCACCCCUUGUGGGCUCGCCUCUCUCUCCCCUAUGGCCCAUUGAUACAUCUCCAACGUAUCUAUAAUUUUUGAUUGUUCCAUGCUAUUAUAUUAUCCAUCUAGGAUGCUUUAUAUGCAUUUAUAUGCUAUUUUAUAUGAUUUUUGGGACUAACCUAUUAACCUAGAGCCUAGUGCUAGUUUCUGCUUUUUCCUUGUUUUUCAGUUUUACAGAAAAGGAAUACCAAACGGAGUCCAAUUGACGUGCCAAUUUUUGACCAUUUUUUAUGGAACAAAAGAAGACCCUGGAGUAAAAGAGUUGGGCCAGAAGAGUUCCAUGCUGUCCACGAGGGUGGGGGGCGCACCCACCCCCCCGAACGCGCCGCCCUAUCUCGUGGACGACUCGGGCACCUCCCUGACUUGUUCCCGACGCCAAAAAUUCCUAUAAAUACUGAAACCUCCAGAAAAUAACCCAGAUCAGGAGUUCCGCUGCCGCAAGCCUCUGUAGCCACCAAAAACCAAUCGUGACCCUGUUCUGGCACCCUACCAGAGGGGGGAUCCCUCACCGGUGGCCAUCUUCAUCAUCCCGACGCUCUCCAUGACGAGGAGGGAGUAGUUCACCCUCGGGGCUGAGGGUAUGUACCAGUAGCUAUGUGUUUGAUCUCUCUCUCUCUCGUGUUCUUGAUAUGGCACGAUCUUGAUGUAUCACGAGCUUUGCUAUUAUAGUUGGAUCUUAUGAUGUUUCUCCCCCUCUAUCUCUUGUAAUGGAUUGAGUUUUCCCUUUGAAGUUAUCUUAUCGGAUUGAGUGUUUAAGGAUUUGAGAACACUUGAUGUAUGUCUUGCGUGGGAUACCCGUGGUGACAAUGAGGUAUUCUAUUGAUUCACUUGAUGUAUGUUUUGGUGAUCAACUUGCGGGUUCCGUGACCUUGGGAAUCUAUGCAUAGGGGUUGGCACACGUUUUCGUCUUGACUCUCCGAUAGAAACUUUGGGGCACUCUUUGAAGUUCUGUGUGUUGGUUGAAUAGAUGAAUCUGAGAUUGUGUGAUGCAUAUCGUAUAAUCAUACCCACGGAUACUUGAGGUGACAUUGGAGUAUCUAGGUGACAUUAGGGUUUGGGUUGAUUUGUGUCUUAAGGUGUUAUUCUAGUACGAAGCCUAUGAUAGAUCGAACGAAAAGAAUAGCUUUGUGUUAUUUUACUACGGACUCUUGAAUAAAUCGAUCAGAAAUGAUAACUUUGAGGUGGUUUCGUACCCUACAAUAAUCUUUUCGUUUGUUCUCCGCUAUUAGUGACUUUGGAGUGACUCUUUGUUGCAUGUUGAGGGAUAGUUAUAUGAUCCAGUUAUGUUAUUAUUGUUGAGAGAACUUGCACUAGUGGAAGUAUGAACCCUAGGCCUUGUUUACUAGCAUUGCAAUACUGUUUACGCUCACUUUUAUCGCUUGUUACCUUGCUCUUUUUAUAAUUUAAGAUUACAAAAACCUAUAUCUACCAUCCUUAUUGCACUUGUAUCACCAUCUCUUCGCCGAACUAGUGCACCUAUACAAUUUACCAUUGUAUUAGGUGUGUUGGGGACACAAGAGACUCUUUGUUAUUUGGUUGCAGGGUUGUUUGAGAGAGACCAUCUUCAACCUAUGCCUCCCACGGAUUGAUAAACCUUAGGUCAUCCACUUGAGGGAAAUUUGCUACUGUCCUACAAACCUAUGCACUUGGAGGCCCAACAAUGCCUACAAGAAAAAGGUUGCGUAGUAGACAUCAAGCAGUUUCUGGCGCUGUUGCCGGGGAGGUUAGUGCUUGAAGGUAUAGCUUUAGAUCUUGCAAUCGAAUCUUUUAGUUUUUUGUUUUAUCACUAUUUUAUUUUAUAAGAGAAAAAUACAAAAAAAUUGGAAUUAAGGUUGCCUCAUAUGCUUCAUCUUUUUAAUGUCUUUCAUGAAAAUGAUGGAAAGGAAAAUUGUGCUCAAGUACUAUAGGAAGAAUUACAUAGAAUGCUAGGCAUAAAAUAUGUGAAUGAUGAGCAUGAUUGCAAUGUUGUUAGUAUGAAUUCUAUGAAUAUCCAUGAUGCUAAUGAUAUGCAAAGCCACAAGCUUGGCGAUGCUAUGUUUGAUGAAGAUGAUAUGUUUUGUCCCCUAAGUUUUAAUGAGCAAAUUUAUUAUGAUGAUAGCAUGCCUCCUAUUUAUGAUGAUUAUAUUGAUGAAAGUGGGUUUGAAAGAGUGUCAACUUUAGGAAUUAAUGAUCCCACUAUUUUGGAGGAUGUUUAAUCUUAUUGUGAUAAUUAUGAAAGUGGAUUUGGAGAGGUCAUGACUUUAUUUAGUGAUGAUUCCACUAUUUCGGAAGAGGUUCCAAUUGAUUAUGAGAAUAAAGUUGCUAUCUAUGAAGAUUAUCGUGAUGACAUGUAUGUUAUAAAUAUUAAUUAUAACCAUGAAACUUGUCAUAAUGAUUUUUGUUUUCAAUUGGAUUAUGCCUCACAUGAUAAUUAUUUUGUUGAGUUUGCUCCCACUAUUAUUUAUGAGAAGAAAUUUGCUUAUGUGGAGAGUAAUAAAAAUUCUAUGCUUGUAGAUCAUGAAAAGAAUGCUUUAUAUGAUGGUUAGAUUGUUGAAUUCAUUCAUUAUGUUACUGAAAAUAAUUAUGAGGGAGGAACAUAUGCUUGUAGGAAUUGCAAUAAUAUCAAGUUUCCUCUCUAUGUGCUUAAAAUCUUGAAGCUAUGCUUGUUUUGCUUUCCUAUGCUAGUUGAUUAUUGUUCCCAUAAGUUGUUUGCUCACAAAAUCCCUAUGCAUAGGAAGUGGGUUAGACUUAAAUGUGCUAGUCAUAUUCUUCAUGAUGCUCUCUUUAUGUUUCAAUACUUAUCUUUUAUGUGAGCAUCAUUGAAAUCAUCAUGCCUAGCUAGGGGCGUUCAGCGUUAGCGCUUGUUGGGAGGCAACCCAGUUUUUAUAUUUGUUCCUUGCUUUUUGUUCCUGUUUAGUAAUAAAUAAUUCAUAUAUACUCUGUUUUGAUGUGUUUUAAUGUUUUAAUUAGUGUCUGUGCCUUUGUGAAGACUUGGGUGAAGUCUUUGUGAUCUUGCUGUAAAAAACAGAAACUUUAGCGCUCACGAGAUUAGCUGUCAGUUUUUACUGCAGAGUGAUUUUAGGCUGAUUCUUUUUAGCAGAACAUUAAUAGAUAAAUUCCUCACGUCCACCAAUUUAUUUUAGAAUUUUUGGAGUUCCAUAAGUAUACGUUUGAUACAGAUUAGUACAGACUGUUCUGUUUUUGACAGAUUCUGUUUUCUAUGUGUUGUUUGCUUAUUUUGAUGAAUCUAUGAGUAGUAUCGGAGGGUAUGAACCAUAGAGAAGUUGGAAUACAGUAGAUAUUACACCAAUAUGAAUUUAGAAUGAGUUCACAACAUUACCUAAGUGGUGAUUUAUUUUCUUAUACUAAUGAAGCUUACGAGUUUUCUGUUGAGUUUUGUGUUGUGAAGUUUUCAAGUUUUGGGUAAAGAUUCGAUGGACUAUGGAAUAAGGAGUGGCGAGAGCCUAAGAUUGGGGAUGCCCAAGGCUCACCAAGGUAAUAUUCAAGGAAAACCAAGAGCCUAAGCUUGGGGAUGCCCUGGAAGGCAUCCCCUCUUUCGUCUUCGUUCAUCGGUAACUUUAGUUGGAGCUAUAUUUUUAUUCACCACAUGAUAUGUGUUUUUCUUGGAGCUUCAUUUUAUUUCCUUUUGUUUUGAUUGUUAUUUGAAUAAAAUACCAAGAUCUGAAAUUCUUAAAUGUUAGAGAGUCUUCACAUAGUUGCAUAAUUAUUCAACUACUCAUUGAUCUUCACUUAUAUCUUUUGGAGUAGUUUGUCGUUUGCUCUAGUGCUUCACUUAUAUCUUUUUAGAGCACGGCGGUGGUUUUAUUUUGAAGAAAUAGAUGAAGUCUCAUGAUUCACUUAUAUUAUUUAGAGAGUCCUAAACAACAUGGUAAUUUGCUUUGGCUAUAAAAUUAGUCCUAAUAUGAUGGGCAUCCAAGAUGGGUAUAAUAAAAACUAUCAUAUAAAGUGCAUUGAAUACUACGAGAAGUUUGAUACUUGAUAAUUGUUUUGAGAUAUAAAGAUGGUGAUAUUAGAGUCGUGCUAGUUGAGUAAUUGUGAAAUUGAGAAAUACUUGUGUUGAGGUUUGCAAGUCCCGUAGCAUGCACGUAUGGUAACCGUUGUGCAACAAAUUUGAAGCAUGAGGUGUUCUUUGAUUGCCUUCCUUAUGAGUGGCGGUCGGGGACGAGCGAUGGUCUUUUCCUACCAAUCUAUCCCCCUAGAAGCAUGCGUGUAGUACUUGGUUUUGAUGACUUGUAGAUUUUUGCAAUAAGUAUGCGAGUUCUUUAUUACUAAUGUUGAGUCCAUGGAUUAUACACACUCUCACCCUUCCAUCAUCUCUAGCCUCUUCGGUACCGUGCUUUCGGCGUUCUGGGAAAGGGGGUACCCAGACUUGCCUGCCUGCGGCCUACGGCCUGCGGCGUGGCUCAGGGAGUGGCCCAGCACGGCCCAUCUUCAUCAACGCGUACUCAAGACCCUCGUGAGGGGCCAAGCCUCGCGGGGCGGAUGACAGGAGGCUUCCUCGGGCACGGCCUCGUCAGGCUGGCUCGCGAGGAGGCGGAGAGAUCAAGGCGGGGUACCUCACGAGGUGCCCAUGAUGCAAGCCAUGACGACCGAGGCCAGGCGGGCGCCAGCCUACGCAGAGUCCUUGUUUCCUCUUUGGUACAAAGGGGGCAAGUGCAGGCAAGAGUAUCAAGCAAAGGCAACCAUUUCGGUGCAACAAGACCAAGACCAGCAGGACGGCAGGAUGAAGGUCAUCGUGGAGCCCAAGCCGGCGUCAUCGUCAGGGUCUUUGGCAAGAGAGGACCAACUUUAGUCAGGAUAAGUGUACUAGAUGUUCCCCUUCAAAAUGGACAAUUGUUGGUGCCCUUCCCGCUCAAUAUUUGGGAAGAGGACCAGGGCCUCCGUCUAUAAAUAGGACUAGCCACCCAUAGGGUAGAGGCAUCUAGAUCUGGAUCUAGAUCUGGAGAGAGAGAGAGAGGCGACGGAACUCCCCCUAGCAGUUCAUCGCAGUAGUCAAGAACAGACCCUCGCGAGGCUGUUCUUCCUUGUACUGUCCGUCAUCAGCCCCUGAGGAAAUCCACACACCACAAACUGGAGUAGGGUAUUACACCACAAUGGUGGCCUAAACCAGUAUAAAUCUCGUGUCCCUUGUGUUGUUCUUCGUGUAGUUUUAGAUCCUUGUGAGGCGACGAGACAUGGGUAGGCAGGAGGUGUGAUCUCCGCGUGCACCCCAGAGUUCGAACCUUGAGGGUGUGCCGGAACCCGAAAUCUGACAUUUGGUGCGCCAGGUAGGGGUGCGCCGGAAUCCGCCUUCCGCCGCCUCGUGUUUCGCCGCCCGUCGCGUCCAUGUCAGACGCUCGUCGAGCCCGCGCCAAGCGCCGGGCCGCUCUCGCCACUCACGUCGCCCAGACGGCCCCCAUCGGCGGGUGCCCCCGCCGUUCCCCGUCACCUGCCGUCAACGCCGCCACCGGCCCGGCGGGGAAUGAGCAGCAGGCAUCGUCCCUGCAACCUUCGGUGCGGCGAGAAGGCUGCACCGCCACCCCGUCGCUGACUCCAGCCGGUUCCUCGUCCCACGCCCGUCACGCUCCUGUGGACGCGCACGCCGCGCUGCUCCUGCGAUGGGAGCUCCUGCACUACCGUCCCGUCGACGACCUCUACGACGAGUGGCUCGCCCGCAUCACCGAGCUUGUCAGCACCGCUGGGGGCUCCCCUGCGCCAUCCCUUUUGUUGCACCGUGCCCCGCCCUGCGUGGGCGACGAAGCUCCGGGGGCGCCUCAGCCGCCUCCCCCUCAAGAAGGCGCCUUGGCCCCAAGGCGCGUGGCCCCUGGGCGGAACCCACUCCGUCCGGCGCCAGCACAACAAGAGAAGAGCUGCCAAGAGAUCCCUCGCCCCCAAGAAGCCGCCCGUGUGCUCCCCGCACCGGCCCGGCACGAACACGCUCCUGCUCUAGCGCAUCAAGACCCCGCGCUGCACCUGGCGGCAGCGCACAGAGAAUUCCAAGAUCAAGCUCUCCGUCACCCAAGGCCUCCCGCGGCCACUGCAGGCUGCCGUGCCUUCACCGCCGAGCUGCGCAGCGUGGCCUGGCCAGACAAGUUCAAGCCAGAUCUGCCCCCGCACUACGAUGGCACAACUGACCCUGCGGAGUUCCUCCAGCUCUAUGAGCUGGGCAUCGAAGCCGCCAAUGGGGACGAGAAGGUCAUGGUGAACUGGUUCCCCAUGGCGUUGAAGGACGACACCCGCACCUGGCUCCUGAACCUGGCUCCUGGCACGAUAUCCUCCUGGGACGAGAUGCACACCUGAUUCAUCGCCAACUUCCAAGGCACCCGCGACCGGCCCCCAGCCAUGAGUGACUUGUGCUGCAUCAAGCAGCAGCCGGGAGAGACCCUGCAGAAGUUCAUCCAGCGUUUCAACAACGCUCGCCUUAAGAUCCCCAAGGUGUCUGAGGAGGCCAUCAUCUCAGCCUUCUCCGACGGCGUACAUGACGUCAAGAUAAAGGAGGAGCUUGCGAUUCAUGAGGACCUGUGCACCUCCCUGGAGCCGUUCAAUCUGGCGACCAAGUGCGCUAGGGCUGAGGAAGGGCGCCUUUCCCUCCUUGAGCUGCCAGCUGCUGACCCAGAAGAGAAGAAGCCCAAGGUCAAGGACGUGAAGCGCAAGGGGGCUGCCAUGCUUGCAGCAGAACCGGACACCAAGCAAGGCAGGGAUCAGCCUGCGUCAUCCAAGGGCAGCCGGUACUGCAUGUACCACGACCUCCACACCCACAACACCAACGAAUGCCAAGAGCUCAGGGCCGUGCGGGACGUGCAUGCCGCCGACGCCCCGAGCGCAGCGACCGGGGCUAUGGACGAGGAGGAGGAAGAGGUGGAGGACGAUGGGAAGACCGUGGUCCUCGCCAAAGGUGGCGCGACCGACCUCGCGAGGAGCGCUGGCAGGACCAGCCUCAUGAGGGAGGUUGGAGGGACCCACCUUGCGAGGGGGGUUGGAGGGAUCAGCCUCGCGAGGAUCGCCCACAAGGCAACGCGGGCCUCCCUCCUCUGCCACCACAGCCGAGGAGGAAUGAAGACCAUCAUCAGGACGAGGGGGCUGGAGGCUUCCAGGAGCCGCGCGCAAUCGCUUGUAUCUUGGGCGGCGCUCAAGCCCCGGCCUCUCAGCGCAUCUUCAAGCAGUUUGCUCGCGAAGUGAAUGCAGUCCUCCCCAAGCUUGAGGCCACAUGCCCUCUCAGGUGGUCAGCGUGCGCUAUCACGUUCAGCUCAGCGGAUCAGCUCAAGUGCGCGGCCACAACCGGAGUCCUCCCGAUGCUUUGUUCCCCAAUCAUCAGCAAUGUGCAAGUCCCCAGGACCCUCAUCGAUGGCGGAGCAUGGCUCAAUGUCCUGUCCGUUGAGACGUUCAACAAUCUGCAAGUGCCCUACAACCAGCUGUAGCCAACCAAGCCUUUCUCAGGAGCCAUUGAUGGUUCCACGGUUCCGAUAGGGUAGGUUCACCUUCCUGUUACCUUCGGGAAGCGCGACAACUACCGCACCGAGCUCAUUGACUUCGACGUCGCUCACAUUUGCCUGUCGUACAAUGCCAUCCUCGGAUACCCAGCCCUGUCCAAGUUCAUGGCCGUGACUCAUCACGGUUACAAUGUCCUCAAGAUGCCAGGAAGCGGUGGAGUCAUCACGGUGCCUUGUGAAGAGAGAGACGCUGUGUGUUCUCUGGAGCGUGCUUUCCAAGCCGCAUCAAUUGAAGACCCAGAUCACAGGAGCGGGAGGCUUCCCGAGGCUGCUCCUAAGAAGAAGAAUACAUCGCCUGGCCCGACCCCUCGGGAGGCAGGCCACUCAGGGUCCGCGCCUGUUCAGGGGGCGCCUCCUUCUGUCGCAUAGGAAGGCAUGCCCGGCGCCCUCCUUGAGCAAGGCUCGGGGGCUCUCUCCUGGAGGGCCAUCGACUUUGCUAGGAUCACGAGGGAGGCACUCGGGCACCACUUGGAGGCGUGUUUCAACGCACGUUUCCCUCAGGAAGGAGCAAGGCAAGGAGGGCCAAACCCUCGGGAGUUCGUCAGCAAGAUCAUUCAGGAGCUGCAGGAGUCAAGAGUCAUGAGUGGCAGCCGCUGCUUACCCGCCGUAGCUCCCCAUCCAGGCGAGGAUGGUGGGCUGCGCGUCUGCAUUGACAUACCAGGACUCAACCGAGCCGCCUCUCAGGAGCGCCUCUGGCCCUCACGCGUGGGACGCUGCGAAGGUCCACCCCAUAGCUAUGUUCGCAUGCCUUACGACCUGCCGAGUGCUGCUGUGCGUCAGCGCCUCAUGAGGAGCAUCCUGGAGGCUCAAGCGGUUAGGCAUUCCAUAGUCCUGGCGGAGAUGGAGAUGGUCCGCGAGGAGCCGCCGGCGCCUCCGGAGCCUCCCGAGGCCCCUGGGCCUGGGGUCUCAGGAAGAUCGGCUUCUGCAGCACACGCCGUCCCCUACUUCAGCAUCCCUUCAUCUUCAGCGUCAUCAGGUGACAUCCUUCGAGUUUCAUUUUCAGCUGGGAGCGCCCCCAGGGCUGCAUCAUUCCCAGGCCGCGUGGGUCCGUCCUUGCGGCAUGUACCCCUUUGAUUCAUGUUUUUAGCUUACUUUAUUGGGGGCGCCCCUCGGGCUGCAUCAUCCCCAAAGUCGCUUGGGCCCGACCCAGCGGUGUUCGCCUUUUUCUGCGCCUAUCUAAAUGGUUUUGCUCCUUCAUGAUUAACGUGCUUGACUUAAUUGCCCGCUUGAUUGACACCAACUGGUGGAGCUGCUCCCUCACGGCACGACGCUUGCACACGGGUCCAUCCCUGCAACGUCGACAAACCUGCAUGGCUGAGCUCUGACCGCGGCAACCCCGCAGGGUGCCACCUCACCAAGCCUUUAGUGCCUCGUCACCCUCCCAGAGCAACCAGCAGCUGGCCGGCAAUUGUAACGGCAAACCCUCGCUUUUCUCAUGAUGAACUCACAGGAUCGCUUUAAGGAGUAGCGUCGAGCGAGGCCUCCACAGCGUCUCCUUCGCUCUCGUCCGCACGAACCGCUUGCACGUUAAAGGGGGGGGGGUACCUGAGCAUCGCGACUCAUGGACUCUUACUGGCUCUCCAGCCCUCACCUCCUGGCCUUGUCCACGGCAUCGCGACCUGGCAUACCAGUGACGGCUGAGCUCGCUUGAGGGCCGGGACCUGAGGACGUAGAGCACGAGGGGGGGCAAAGGCGAGAGGGAAGAGGCACGUGGGGACCUCGCCAGGCAACUCCUCAGCUGCCAAUGCGCGGGCCCGGCGCCGCGCCAAGAAGUGGCUUCUGACCCCCGAGAUAAGUCAUCCUCCGGAAACACUAGCUAUCGCAGCAUCGACCUCUCACCUAAUGCAAUCCCGUUUUGGCAACGUCGCGCUCCUUUCUCACCGAACGAUGACUGCUUGAGCGCUAAAGGGGACCUCCUGAGCAUCGCGGCUCAGGGGCUCUUACUGGACCCCGGGCCGCUCACCUCCUGGCCUUGACUACAACAUCGCGAUCUGGCAUACCAGCGACGGCUAAAGCCUGCCUUGGGACCGGGACCUGUCAGCACAGAGCGUCAAGUCCUCGCGAGGUUCGAAAGGAGGAACUAAGCUAAGACGGGACGAGCAUCUCGCAUUGCUUCAUGACAAGGAUCAUAUUAACAAAUGGAACCGCAAGCACCUUACAAACCCCCGCGGGGUGUGUUCUUCGAUUCCUCACAGGGAACAAAAGGAGAAAAUCCUAAAGAGCGCUAACUACACACGCCUCCGCAAGAGACGCCAUCAUCAACAGUGGGCCGUCAGGCACCAGUACCAACCCCAUACAGAUCAGUGGCGAUGGCGGCCUGACGAGCCCGCCCUACUCCGAGAGCGACGCAAGCUCGGGGGCUCGUAGCUGUCGUCACUCGACUCCAGAGUCACGAAGAGCUCGACGGAGUCGCUAGAUUCUCCGACACCUCCGCUGCCUGAGGAGCUACUGGGGAAGCGAUUGGCGAGCCUAGUCCUCGCCACGACAGGGCCCCGACUGCCUUUCUCAGGGCAGCACUCCAGCCGGCGUCCCUCCGCAUCGAAGACCUUGAAGAACAUCAGGGAGGCACCGUCGUAUUCGAGUUGGAUUACGAGGGCGCCACCCGUCCUGCAGACCCGGGAGAUCUCGCCCCAGCCACGGGUCAGGUAGACCCUGCCCGGAGCGACAACCUCGACCUCCGCUUCGGUCGCAGGGGUACUGCAAUCAGCAUGCUGCAACCAAAGCUCGAUAGGCCCCCUCGGCGGGAUCUCGAAGGCGAAGGAAGGAGGGAGGUGAAUCCAAGACCGAGGAUGCAUGGUGGCGUGAAGCACGAGCUCGUGAGAGGAGCCCUCAACGUGAACACCAGGAGGAACGAUGCGCACCGCCGUGAUCCGCCGGCGGCGACGGCGCCUCUGGCGGCGCCGCUCAUCGUGACCCUCGAUCCAAGCAUACAAGGGCAAUGGGAAUCCAGGUGGCGGCCGCUCAAACCACGGCCUCGACACCUCCUGCAGAGCACCCCCUUCUCCGCGGAAAGAGGCGGGCCAUUUCUUCGGAGGAAGCGGGACAGGACCUUCUCGGGGGGCCUUUCCCUUCUCUUCAGCAAAAAACCGACGGAUCGGUGCCAUUGGCAUAGGGAGAAGCGAGAACAAAGAAGAAGACGGAGAGUAGCAGGAAGGGGUGAACUGGAAGGGCUCGCGCCGUUCCGUACAUAUAGCCGGGGAAGGCCAACCACCGGCCUCCACGAUCACAGGUAAUCAUGACCCGUUUUGCAGCAGGGACUUGUCAAUUCAUGCAGUUGCCGAUGCAUCAUGGGGGAGCCAGGACGCCCACGUCCAAUCAACCGCCACGCGGCGCCCAAGGCUGCAGGCUAUUGGGGCCCGCGAUGCUUCGCACUUGCCCCUUUGCUUCUCUGCUAAGCCAAGUCCGGGUGCGCCUUGGGCCCGGGGGCUACUGUUGGCGUUUUGGGAAUGGGGGUACCCAGACUUGCCUGCCUACGGCCUGCGGCGUGGCUCAAGGAGUGGCCCAGCACAACCCAUCGUCAUCAACGCAUACUCAAGACCCUCGCGAGGGGCCAAGCCUCGCGGGGCGGACGACAGGAGGCUUCCUCGGGCACGACCUCGUCAGGCUGGCUCGCGAGGAGGCGGAGAGAUCAAGGCGGGGUACCUCACGAGGUGCCCAUGACACAAGCCAUGACGACCGAGGCCAGGCGGGCGCCAGCCUGCGCAGAGUCCUUGUUUCCUCUUUGGUGCAAAGGGGGCAAGCGUAGGCAAGAGUAUCAAGCAAAGGCAACCAUUUUGGUGCAACAAGACCAAGACCAGUAGGACGGCAAGAUGGAGGUCAUCGUGGAGCCCAAGCCGGCGUCAUCGUCAGGGUCUUUGGCAGGCGAGGACCAACUUUAGUCAGGAUAAGUGUACUAGAUGUUCCCCUUCAAAAUGGCCAAUUGUUGGCGCCCUUCCCGCUCAAUAUUUGGGGAGAGGCCCAGGGCCUCCGUCUAUAAAUAGGACUAGCCACCCACAGGGUAGAGGCAUCUGGAUUUGGAUCUGGCUCUGGAGAGAGAGAGAGAGAGGCGACUGAACUCCCCCUAGGAGUUCAUCGCACUAGCCAAGAACAGACCCUCGCGAGGCUGUUCUUCCUUGUACUGUCCAUUAUCAGCCCCUGAGGCAAUCCACACACCACAAACUGGAGUAGGGUAUUACACCACAAUGGUGGCCUGAACUAGUAUAAAUCUCGUGUCCCUUGUGUUGUUCUUCGUGUAGUUUUAGAUCCUUGCGAGGCGACGAGACAUGGGUAGGCAGGAGGUGUGAUCUCCGCGUGCACCCCAGAGUUCGAACCUUGAGGGUCUGCCGGAACCCAAAAUCAGACAGGUGCAUUGACCUUUCUCACCUUGAGAGUUGGUGCAAACUUCGCCGGUGCAUCCAAACCCCGUGAUAUGAUACGCUCUAUGACACAUAGGCCUCCUUAUAUCUUCCUCAAAACAACCACAUACCUACCUAUUAUGACAUUUCCAUAGCCAUUCCGAGAUAUAUUUCCAUGUAACUUUCCAUCGUUCCGUUUAUUAUGACAUGCUUCAUCAUUGUCAUAUUGCCUUGCAUGAUCAUGUAGUUGACAUCGUAUUUGUGGCAAAGCCGCAUAUUUUCAUAUAUGACACUCUUGAUUCAUUGCCCAUUCCGAUACACCGCCGGAGGCACUCAUAUAAAGUCAUAUUUUGUUCUAGUAUCGAGUUAUAGUCAUUGAGUUGUAAAUAAAUAAAAGUGUGAUGAUCAUCAUUAAUAGAGCAUUGUCCCGGAAAAAAAGAAAAAAAAGAGAAAGGCCAAAAAAAAGAAAGGCCAAAAAAAGAAAGGCCAAAUAAAAAUAUAUAAAGAAGGGACAAUGCUACUAUCCUUUUUCCACACUUGUGCUUCAAAGUAGCACCAUGGUCUUUAUGAUAGAGAGUCUCUUAUUUUGUCACUUUCAUAUACUAGUGGGGAUUUUUCAUUAUAGAACUUGGCUUGUAUAUUCCAACAAUGGGCUUCCUCAAAUGCCCUAGGUCUUCGUGAGCAAGCAAGUUGGAUGCACACCCACUUAGUUUCUUUUGUUGAGCUUUCAUACAUUUAUAGCUCUAGUGCAUCUGUUGCAUGUCAAUCCCUACUCCUUGCAUUGACACCAAUUGAUGGGCAUCUCCAUAGCUCGUUGAUUAGCUGCGUCAAUGUGAGAAUUUCUCCUUUUUGUCUUCUCCACACAACCCCCAUCAUUAUUCUAUUCCACCCAUAGUGCUAUGUCCAUGGCUCACGCUCAUGUAUUGCGUGAAAGUUGAAAAAGUUUGAGAAUACUAAAGUAUGAAACAAUUGCUUGGCUUGUCAUCGGGGUUGUGCAUGAUGGGAGCAUUUUGUGUGACGAAAAUGAAACAUGGACAAACUAUAUGAUUUUGUAGGGAUGAGCUUUCUUUGGCUAUGUUAUUUUGAUAAGACAUAAUUGCUUGGUUAGUAUGCUUGAAGUAUUAUUAUUUUUAUGUCAAUAUUAAACUUUUGUCUUGAAUCUUAUGGAUCUGAAUAUUCUUGCCACAAUAAAGAAGAUUACAUUGAUAAAUAUGUUAGGUAGCAUUCCACAUCAAAAAUUCUGUUUUUAUCAUUUACCUACUCGAGCACGAGCAGGAAUUAAGCUUGGGGAUGCUUGGUACGUCUCCAAGGUAUCUAUAAAUUUUUAUUGUUCCAUGCUAUUAUAUUAUCCAUCUCGGAAGUUUUAUAUCCAUUUAUAUGCUAUUUUAUAUGAUUUUUGGGACUAACCUAUUAACCUAGAGCCUAGUGCCAGUUUCUGUUUUUCCUUGUUUUUGAGUUUUAAAGAAAAGGAAUACCAAGCGGAGUCCAAUUGACGUGCCAAUUUUUGACGAUUUUUUAUGGACCAAAAGAAGACCCCGGUGUAAAAGAGUUGGGCGAGAAGAGUCCCAGGCCGUCGAUGAGGGUGGGGGCGCGCCCACCCCCCCGAGUGCACCGCCCUAUCUCGUGGACGACUCGAGCACCUCCCUAACUUGUUCCCGACGCCAAAAAUUCCUAUAAAUACUGAAACCUCCAGAAAAUAACCUAGAUCGGGUGUCCCGCCGCCGCAAGUCUCUGUAGCCACCAAAAACCAAUUGGGGCCCUGUUCCGGCACCCUGCCGGAGGGGGGAUCCCUCACCGGUGGCCAUCUUCAUCAUCUCGACGCUCUCCAUGACGAGGAGGGAGUAGUUCACCCUCGGGGCUGAGGGUAUGUACCAGUAGCUAUGUGUUUGAUCUCUCUCUCGUGUUCUUGAUAUGGCACGAUCUUGAUGUAUCACAAGCUUUGCUAUUAUAGUUGGAUCUUAUGAUGUUUCUCCCCCUCUAUCUCUUGUAAUGGAUUGAGUUUUCCCUUUGAAGUUAUCUUAUCGGAUUGAGUCUUUAAGGAUUUGAGAACACUUGAUGUAUGUCUUGUGUGGGAUACCCAUGGUGACAAUGGGGUAUUCUAUUGAUUCACUUGAUGUAUGUUUUGGUGUUCAACUUGCGGGUUCCGUGACCUUGGGAAUCUACGCAUAGGGGUUGACACAUGUUUUCAUCUUGAAUCUCUGAUAGAAACUUAGGGGCACUCUUUGAAGUUCUGUGUGUUGGUUGAAUAGAUGAAUCUGAGAUUGUGUGAUGCAUAUCGUAUAAUCAUAUCCACGGAUACUUGAGGUGACAUUGGAGUAUCUAGGUGACAUUAGGGUUUCGGUUGAUUUGUGUCUUAAGGUGUUAUUCUAGUACAAACUUUAUGAUAGAUCGAACAGAAAGAAUAGCUUCGUGUUAUUCUACUACGGACUCUUGAAUAGAUCGAUCAGAAAGGAUAACUUUGAGGUGGUUUCGUACCCUACAAUAAUAUCUUCGUUUGUUCUAUGCUAUUAGUGACUUUGGAGUGACUCUUUGUUGCAUGUUGAGGGAUAGUUAUAUAUAUGAUCCAGUUAUGUUAUUAUUGUUGAGAGAACUUGCACUAGUGAAAGUAUGAACCCUAGGCCUUGUUUCCUAGCAUUGCAAUACUGUUUACGCUCAUUUUUAUCGCUUGUUACCUUGCUUUUUUUAUAAUUUCAGAUUACAAAAACCUAUAUCUACCAUCCAUAUUGCACUUGUAUCACCAUCUCUUUGCCAAACUAGUGCACCUAUACAAUUUACCAUUGUAUUGGGUGUGUUGGGGACACAAGAAACUCUUUGUUAUUUGGUUGUAGGGUUGUUCGAGAGAGACCAUCUUCAACCUAUGCCUCCCUCGGAUUGAUAAACCUUAGGUCAUCAACUUGAGGGAAAUUUGCUACUGUCCUACAAACCUCUGCACUUGGAGGCCCAACAACGUCUACAAGAAGAAGGUUGCGUAGUAGACAUCACCCAUGUAGGUCCAAUACUUCCCCGGGGGGUUCCGGUAACCUCCCGGUACUCCCAAAAAUACCCGAACCUUUCUGAAACCAUUCCGGUGUCCGAAUACUAUCGUCCAAUAUAUCAAUCUUUACCUCUUGACUAUUUCGAGACUCCUCGUUGUGUCCGUGGUCUCAUCCGGGAGUCUGAACAAUCUUCGGUCACCAAAACACAUAACUCAUAAUACAAAUCGUCAUCGAAUGUUAAGCGUGCGGACCCUACGGGUUUGAGAACUAUGUAGACAUGACCGAGACACAUCUCAUAUCAAUAACCAAUAGCGGAACCUAGAUGCUCAUAUUGGUUCCUACAUAUUGUACGAAGAUCUUUAUCGGUCAAACUGCAAUGACAACAUACGUAAUUCCCUUUGUCAACGGUAUGUUACUUGCCCGAGAUUCGAUCGUUGGUAUCCUGAUACCUAGUUCAAUCUCGUUACCAGCAAGUCUCUUUACUCGUUCCGUAAUGCAUCAUUAUGUAACUAACUCAUUAGUCACAUUGCUUGCAAGGCUUAUCAUGAUGUGCAUUACCGAGAGGGCCCAGAGAUACCUCUCCGGUACUCGGAAUGACAUAUCCUAAUCUCGAUCUAUGCCAACCCAACAAACACCUCUGGAGAUGCCUGUAGAGCAUCUUUAUAAUCACCCAGUUAUGUUGUGACGUUUGAUAGCACACAAGGUAUUCCUUCGGCAUUCAGGAGUUGCACAAUCUCAUAGUCAAAGGAAUAUGUAUAAGUCAUGAAGAAAGCAAUAGCAAUAAAACUUAACGAUCAUUAUGCUAAGCUAAUGGAUGGGUCUUGUCCAUCACAUCAUUCUCCUAAUAAUGUGAUCCCGUUCAUCAAAUGAAAACAAUGUCUAUGGUUAGGAAACUUAACCAUCUUUGAUAAACGAGCUAGUCUAGUAGAGGCUUACUAGGGACACAGUGUUUCGUCUAUGUAUCCACACAUGUAUCAAGUUUCCGGUUAAUACAAUUCUAGCAUGAAUAAUAAGCAUUUGUCAUGAUAUAAGGAAAUAUAAAAUAACAACUUUAUUAUUGCCUCUAGGGCAUAUUUCCUUUAGUGUCCCACUUGCACUAGUCAAUAAUGUAGUUCACAUCGGCAUGUGAUUUAACACCAAUAGUUCACAUCACCAUGUGAUUAACACCCAUAGUUCACAUCGCCAUGUGACCAACACCCAAAGGGUUUACUAGAGUCGGUAAUAUAGUUCACAUCGCCAUGUGAUUAACACCCAAAGAGUACUUAGGUGUGAUCAUGUUUUGCUUGUGAGAGAGGUUUAGUCAACGGGUCUGCCACAUUCAGAUCCGUAUGCAUUUUGCAAAUUGUAUGUCUACAAUGCUCUGCAUGGAGCUACUCUAGCUAAUUGCUCCCACUUUCAAUACGUAUCCAGAUCGAAACUCAGAGUCAUCUGGAUCGGUGUAAAAGCUUGCAUCGACGUAACUCAUUACGACGAACUCUUUAUCACCUCCAUAACCAAGAAAUAUUUCCAUAGCCCUCUAAGGAUAAUUUUGACCGCUGUCCAGUGAUCUACUCCUCAAUCACUAUUGUACCCCCUUGCCAAACUCAUGGCAAGGUGAACAAUAGGUCUGGUACACAACAUGGCAUACUGUAUAGAACCUAUGGCUGAGGCAUAGGGAAUGACUUUCAUUCUCUAUCUACCUUAUGCCGUGGUCAGGCUUUGAGUCUUUACUCACCUUCACACCUUACAAUACAGGAAAGAACUCCUUCUUUGACUGAUCCAUUUUGAACUCCUUCAAAACCUUGUCAAGGUAUGUACUCAUUGAAAAAUCUUAUCAAGCGUCUUGAUCUAUCUCUAUAGAUCUUGAUGCCCAAUAUGUAAGCAGCUUCACCGACGUCUUUCUUUGAAAAACUCCUUUCAAACACUCCUUUAUGCUUACCAGAAAUUUCUACAUCAUUUCUGAUCAACAAUAUGUCAUUCACAUAUACUUAUCAGAAAUGCUACAGAGCUGCCACUCACUUUCUUGUAAAUACAAGCUUCACCAUAAGUCUGUAUAAAACCAUAUGCUUUGAUCACACUAUCAAAACGUAUAUUCCUACUUCGAGAGGCUUGCACCAGUCCAUAAAUGGAUCGCUGGAGCUUGCACACUUUGUUAGCACUUUUAGGAUCGACAAAACCUUCUGGUUGCAUCAUAUACAACUCUUCUUUAAGAAAUCCAUUAAGGAAUGCAAUUUUGACAUCCAUUUGCUAAAUUUCAUAAUCAUAAAAUGCGACAAUUUCUAACAUGAUUCGGACAGACUUAAGCAUUGCUACGGGUGAGAAGGUCUCAUCGUAGUCAACUCCUUGAGCUUGUCAAAAACCUUUCGCAACAAGUCGAGCUUUGUAGACAGUGACAUUACCACCAGCGUUAGUCUUCUUCUUGAAGAUCCAUUUAUUCUCUAUGGCUUGCCGAUCAUCGGGCAAGUCAACCAAAGUCCAUACUUUGUUCUCAUACAUGGAUCCCAUCUCAGAUUUCAUGGCCUCAAGCCAUUUCACGGAAUCUGAGCUCAUCAUCACUUCCUCAUAGUUCGUAGGUUCGUCAUGGUCUAGUAACAUGACUUCCAGAACAGGAUUAUCGUACCACUCUGGUGCGGAACAUACUCUGGUUGACCUACGAGGUUUGGUAGUAACUUGAUCUGAAGCUUCAUGAUCAUCAUCAUUAGCUUCCUCACUAAUUGGUAUAGGCAUCAAUGGAACUGAUUUCUUUGAUGAACUACUUUCCAAUUUGAGAAUAGGUAUAACUACCACAUCAAGUUCUACUUUUCUCCCACUCACUUCUUUCGAGAGAAACUCCUUCUUUAGAAAGGAUCCAUUCUUAGCAACAAAUAUCUUGCCUUUGGAUCUGUGAUUGAAGACACACUUCUCCGAUUUGGGUUCGAGCUUAUCAGGCUGAAGCUUUUUCACAUAAGCAUCGCAACCCCAAACUUUGAGAAACGACAGCUUAGGUUUCUUGCCAAACCACAGUUCAUACAGUGUCGUUUCAACGGGUUUAGAUGGUGCCCUAUUUAACGUGAAUGCAGCUGUCUCUAAUGCAUAACCCCAAAACGGUAGUGGUAAAUCGGUAAGAGACAUCAUAGGUCACACCAUAUGUAAUAAAGUACGGUUACGACGUUCGGACACACCAUUACGCUGUGGUGUUCCAGGUGGCGUGAGUUACGAAACUACUCCAUAUUGUUUCAAAUGAAGACCAAACUCGUAACUGAAAUAUUCGCCUCUGCGACCAGACCGUAGAAACAUUAUUUUCUUGUUACGAUGAUUUUCCACUUCACUCGGAAAUUCUUUGAACUUUUCAAAUGUUUCAGACUAAUGUUUCAUUAAGUAGAUAUGCUGAUAUCUGCUCAAAUCAUCUGUGAAGGUCAGAAAAUAACGAUACCAGCCGCGGGCCUCAACACUCAUCAGACCACAUACAUCAGUAUGUAUUAUUUCCAAUAAGUCAGUGGCUCGCUCCAUUGUUCCGGAGAACGAAGUUUUAGUCAUCUUUCCCAUGAGGCAUGGUUCACAAGUAUUAAGUGAUUCAUAAUCAAGUGAUUCCAAAAGCCCAUCAGCAUGAAGUUUCUUCAUGCGCUUUACAGCAAUAUGACCUAAACGACAGUGCCACAAAUAAGUUGCACUAUCAUUAUUAACUUUGCAUCUUUUGGCAUCAAUAUUAUGAAUAUGUGUAUCACUAUGAUCGAGAUUCAAAAAAAUAGACCACUCAUCAAGGGUGCAUGACUAUAAAAGAUAUUACUCAUAUAAAUAGAACAACCAUUAUUCUCUGAUUUAAAUGAAUAAUCGUCUCACAUCAAAGAAGAUCCAGAUAUAAUGUUCAUGCUCAACGCUGGAACCAAAUAACAAUUAUUCAGGUCUAAAACUAAUCCCGAAGGUGGAUGUAGAGGUAGCGUGCCGACGGCGAUCAUAUCGACCUUGGAACCAUUUCCGACGCGCAUUGUCACCUCAUCCUUAGCCAAUCUUCAUUUAAUCUAUGCCUCCAUUUUCGAGUUGCAAAUAUGAGCAACAGAACCCGUAUCAAUUACCCAGGUGCUACUACGAGCAUUAGUAAGGUACACAUCAAUAACAUGUAUAUCAAAUAUACCUUUCACUUUGCCAUCCUUCUUAUCCGCCAAAUACUUGGGGCAGUUCCGCUUCCAGUGACCAGUCCCUUUGUAGUAGAAGCACUCAGUUUCAGGCUUAGGUCCAGACUUGGGCUUCUUCCCGGGAGUAGCAACUUGCUUGCUAUUCUUCUUGAAGUUCCCCUUAUUCCCUUUGCCCUUUUUAUUGAAACUAGUGGUUUUGUUAACCAUCAACACUUGAUGCUCCUUCUUGAUUUCUACCUCCGCAGCUUUAAGCAUUGUGAAGAGCUCGGGAAUUGUCUUGUUCAUCCCUUGCAUAUUAUAGUUCAUCACGAAGCCUUUAUAGCUUGGUACCUGAUACGUCUCCAACGCAUCUACUUUUCCUAACACUUUUCCUCUUGUUUUGGACUCUAAUUUGCAUGAUUUCGAUGAAACUAACCCCAAACUGACGUUGUUUUCAAUAGAACUACCAUGGUGUUGUUUUUGUGCAGAAAUAAAAGUUCUUGGAAUGGAAUGGAACUUUGCGAGGAAUUUUUAUAUAAUAAAUAAGAAUUUCUGGAGCCAAGAUCCACCGGAGAGGGGCACCUGGGUGGGCACAACCCACCAGGGCGCGCCCUCCCCUCCUGUUGCGCCCAGGUGGGUUGUCCCCACCCGGUGGCCCCGCAGACCCUGAUUCCAACACUAUAAAAUCCUAUUUUCAGAGAAAAAUCAGGGAGAAAGAAUUAUCGUGAUCCAUGAGAUGGAGCCGCCGCCAAGCCCUGUUCUUCCUCGGGAGGGAAGAUCUGGAGUCCGUUUGGGGCUCCGGAGAGGGGGAUCUUCGUUCUUCAUCAUCACCAACCCUUGUCUAUCGCCAAUUCCAUGAUUCUCCCCACCAGGAGUGAGUAAUUCCUUCGUAGGUUCGCUGGUCGGUGAGGAGUUGGAUGAGAUUCAUCAUGUAAUCGAGUUAGUUUUGUUAGGGCUUGAUCCCUAAUAUCCACUAUGUUCUUAGAAUGAUGUUGCUAUGAAUUUGCUAUGCUUAAUGCUUGUCACUUUGGGCCUGGGUGCCAUGAACUCAGAUCUGAACCGUUUAUGUUAUCAUCAUUAUAUCCAUGUUUUAGAUCGGAUCUUGCAAGUUAUAGUCACCUACUACGUGUUAUGAUCCGGCAACCCCGUAGCGACAACAACCAGGCCCACUCCCGGUGAUGACCGUAGUUUGAGGAGUUUAUGUAUUCACUAUGUGUUAAUGCUUUGUUCCGGUUCUCUAUUAAAAGGAGGCCUUAAUAUCCCUUAGUUUCCAAUAUGGACCCCGCUGCCACAGGAGGGUAGGACAAAAGAUGUCAUGCAAGUUCUUUUAAUAAAGCACGUAUGACUAUUUACGAAAUACAUGCCUACAUUAUAUCGAUGAGCUAGAGCUAGUGCCGUAUCGCCCUAGGUUAUAACUGUCACAUGAUGAAUAUCAUCCAACAUGUCACCGAUCCAAUGCCUAAGAAUUUAUCUUAUAUUGUUUCUGCUAAGUUACUACUGCUACCAUCACUGUUACACUUGCUACAAAAUUACUGCUAUUACUGUUACUGCUGUCACUAUUAUCAAAACUAUCAAACUACUUUGCUACUGAUCACUUUGCCGCAGAUAAUUAAUCUCCAAGUGUGGUUGAAUUGACAACUCAGCUGCUAAUACCUUCAAAUAUUCUUUGGCUCCCCUUGUGUCGAAUCUAUACAUUUGGGUUGAAUACUCUACCCUCGAAAAUGGUUGCGAUCCCCUAUACUUGUGGGUUAUCUGGACCUUUUUCUGGCACCGUUGCCGGGGAGGAUAGCUAUAUUUGUUGAGUCACUUGGGAUUAUUAUCAUAUUAUCACUAUGAAGAAUUUGAAGGAUCCAAAGACUAAGAUAUUUCCCUCAAGGACGAGGGGAGGUAUGGAACUGCCAUCCAGUUCUGCUUUAGAUUCACCUUUUGUUAUGAGUAAACUUGCAACAUCACCACAUGCUAUCAAUUCUGAUAUGUCGCAAGUUAUUGAUGAUGCUACUUCUGCUAUGGAUAAUUCUUAUGAUGAUGCUAGUAUCUUGCUUGAUAAUGAUGAUGUGCCACUUGGUGAUUUUUUUGAUGCACAAAUUGCUAGAGUAAUACAACCUGAUGUUGUUGAAUCUGAUGAUGAGCUUGAAACUAAAAGUCUUGAAACACUUGCUAGAAUUAGCCUUCCUAGAUAUGAAUUGCCUAAGGUACCAGAAGGUUAUGUUAUGAAUGAGGAGACAACUAGAGAUAUUCUUGCUUGUAAGGAUAGAGAUGAUCUAGAGAAAUUACUAUGUAAGUAUAAAGAAAAAUCUCUGAAUGCUAGAAUGAAAUAUGAUCCUAAGUUUGCUACUUCACCUAUCUUUAUUGAUGACAAGUAUUAUGAAUUCUUUGUCGACCAAGAGUUAAUUACUUUGGUUGAAUCUGAUCCUUUCCAUGGUUAUGAAACUGAAACUGUUGUGGCACAUCUUACUAAGUUGAAUGAUAUAGCCACCCUUUUUACUCAUGAUGAGAAAACUGACUAUUACUUUAUUCUCAAAUUAUUUCCUUUCUCAUUAAAGGGUAAUGCUAAAGCUUGGUACAAUACUCUUACUCCUGGUUGUGUGGGUAGUUUCCAGGAUAUGAUUUAUUACUUCUUUGAAAAAAAUCCUUCUCAUAAGAAACAAGCUGCUUUACAGGAAAUAUUUAACUUUGUGCAAACUAAAGAAGAGAGUCUCCCACAAGCUUGGGGGAGGAUUUUCCAGUUACCUAAUGCUUUGCUGAUCAUCCUCUUAAGAAAAAUGAAAUACUUGAUAUCUUCUAUAAUGGACUAACCUAUGCUUUUAGGGACUUCCUAGAUAGUUGUGCUGCUUGUGUUUUCAGGGAACGAACUAUUGGACAAUCUGAAGAAUUAUUGAAUAUCAUAUUGAAAAAUUAUGAUGAUUGGACUAUUCCUAAACCACCACCUAAACCCACUCCUAAGAAGAUGGGUAUAUUAUAUCUCAGUCCUGAAGAUAUGCAAGAGGCAAAGAAAUCUAUGAAGGAAAAAGGUAUUAAUGCCGAGGAUGUUAAAAAAUUACCUCCUAUUGAAGAAAUACAUGGGCUUAAUACACCACCACUGCCUAAGGUGGUAGAGGUAAAUUCUCUUAUGAAUUUCAAUGAUAAUGAUAAUCCUCACAAUAUGCAUCCUAGUCAAUGCCUUUAUGAGUUUGAAAACUAUAUUAGAAAACAAGAUCACUUCAAUGCAAAUGUUAUGAAACAAUUGAAAUAUAAUUCUGAUAUGAUUGCUCACUUGAGUGACUUGUUAUUUAGAAUCUCAAAUGAUGUUAGAGGUGUUGGGAAACAUGCUUAUAUGGUUCAAACUCAGUUUGAACAAGUUUCUAAAUCACAAAGAGAAUUACUUGAUGAAAUGAAUCAUAAUAUGCAUGACUUUGCUGUUAGAGUUGCAACUAGAGGAGGUAAAAUGACUCAGGAACCACUUUAUCCUGAGGGACACCCUAAAAGAAUUCAACAAGAUUCACAAAGAGUAAACACUGAUGCACCUAGUCCUUCUAGAAUGAAAAAGAAAAAGAAAAAGAAAAAUGAUAGGACUUUGCACACUUCUAGUGAACCUGAAAUAGAAAAACCUCCUGAUAAUGAUAAUGAAACCUCUAUCUCUGAUGCUAAAACUCAAUCUGGUAAUGAACACUCACCUAGUGAUAAUGAUGAGGUUCUUGAAGACACUCAACCAACUAAUGAUAAAGAACCAGAUAAUGAUGUUGAGAUAGAACCACCUGCUGAUCUUGAUAACCCACAACCAAAGAAUAAAAGGUAUGAUAAAAGAGACUUUGUUGCUAGAAAACACAUUAAAGAAAGAGAACAGUGGGUUCAAUAACCUAUGCCUUUUCCACCCAAGUCAACUAAAAAGAAAGAUGAUGAAGAAUUUGAACGCUUUGCUAAAAUGCUAAGGCCAGUCUUUUGGCGUACUCGCUUGACUCAUAUCUUGAAAAUGCCUCCUUAUGCAAAGUAUAUGAAAGACAUCAUCACUAACAAGAGAAAAAUACCGGAAGCUGAAAUCUCCACUAUGCUUGCUAAUUAUAAUUUCAAGGAUGGAGUACCUAAAAAACUUGGAGAUCCAGGAAUACCAACUAUACCUUGCUCCAUCAAAAAGAAUUAUGUGAAAACUGCUUUGUGUGAUUUAGGAGCUGGUGUUAGUGUUAUGCCUUUCUCUUUAUAUAAAAGACUUGAUCUGAAUGAACUCACACCUACUGAAAUAUCUUUGCAAAUGGCCGACAAAUCAACUGCCAUACCUAUCGGUAUUUGUGAGGAUGUGCCCGUUGUUGUUGCUAAUGUUACUAUUUUGACUGACUUUGUUAUACUUGAGAUGCCCAAGGACGAUAACAUGUCGAUUAUCCUUGGUAGACCCUUCUUGAAUACUGUAUGGGCUGUUAUUGAUUGCAAUAAAAGCAUGGUCACUUUUCAUAUUAAUGGUAAUGAGCAUACGGUGCACUUUCCGAAGAAACAAUUCCAAGUGAAUGGCAUUGAUGUUAUUGAAAAAUCUCCGACAAUCACUAUUGGAAGUUUUCAAAUACCUCUACCUACUGUCAAAAAGAAAUAUGAAAUGCUUAUUGUUGGGGACAUCCAUAUCCCCAUUUAGGUAACUUAGUGACUUACGAAAGUUCUUUAGUUUCAUGCUAAUCAAAAGUGGUUGUUAAUAAGACCUGAUCAACCUUAUUAAUGAAUCAUUUUUGAGCGGUAUGAAGUUGAUGAAUUUAGUAAGCACUACCUUCUGUCCCUAUCUUUUGUUUUCUGUUUUUAUUAGUUAAAUAAAUUAAAAUGCCAUGUUUUGUCUGUUUUCUGAAUUUCCAAUGCAAUAAAAAAAUGACCCAAAAAUUAAAGUUCUCAGAAUGCCCUGAAAACUUAAUACGAUUUUUUCUGAAUAUUUACAUAUUUCUGGUGCAAAUAAUAUCAGAGGGAGGUGCACCAGGUGGGCACAAUCCACCUGGGCGCUCUAGGACUCCCAGGCGCGCCCUGGUGGGUUGUGGUCCCCACUGGGCCCCCUCACUUACCUCUUCGUCCCACAUCAUCACUUACCUCCAGAAAAAAAAAUUCUCCAUUGCUCUCUCUCCCGUGUUCUUGCUCUCAAACCUGCAGAUUUCGAUCUCUUUGCUCGAAGCUCCGUUUUCGAAACUGUUUCGGGGGAUUGUUGCUUGGUAUGUGACUCCACUGUUUGUCCAAUUAGUUUUUAUUUUAGUGGUUCAUACUUUGAAUAAUUAGCUACUCUUGGUGCUGUUGUAGAUGAGCUUGCAUGUUAAAUUCUUAGUGGUCUAAGUAGUUUGAAUGCUUGCUAUGGCCUCUAUGUAUCCCUAUGAGUAGUUGCUAUUAGUUUUAUAAAGUUUUGUCACCCCAAAAUUUUUAUUUUCAGAAAAUUGUAUGCGGACAUGAAUAUCUUUAGGAAGUUUGGGUCUAAGCAGAACUCCAAGGGUAUUAUUGGGGAGUCUUCUGACAGUGAUUUCCACCCUCGGAGGUUGGCGGAGGUACGGCCGUGCGAAUGGCUACACACCCCGUUCCUGGAAGAGGCUGGAAUUCUUCCGGAGUUUACACAAUAUGUUGCCAAUGCCGGCCUCACUGACUUCAUCACAGAUGAGUGUGACCAGCAGCAAAUCCUCACAAACAUCUUUGUUCAAAGUUUUACUUUCCUGCCUAGGAAUAAUCCUCCUGAAGUGAGCUUUGAUUUAUAUGCUGAAAACCAUCAGAUACCACUUACUGAAUUUUGUGACAUAUGCAUGAUCCCCUCUGAUAGGAUCUUAGUCGAGCCUAGGCCGGCUGGGUUUGAGGCCUUUUAUCGAACUUUGACAGUGGGAGAUGAGAGAGGGGUGUCAGCCACCACGGCUGCUAGCAUACACUUUCCAGCCGUACAUUAUUUUGCUUUAUUUGUUGCUAAGUGUCUGCUUGCUAGAAAGAAAGUAGGUGCGCUUAGCGCACACGCCAGGCGCUAGAGGGUGACAACACUUAUAGCUUGGGAGCUAUUUUGGCUCAUCGCCUGCAUCUUAAUAAAUCCCAGGGGGAAAUACAUGGUGGGAUUUUUGCUACUCGUUUGGCGGCCCACUUUAAUGUUGGUAUAUGCCCUCAUGACUACUCGCUGACCAAGGUUUACCUAGACCGAGCAGCCAUGGAUCACCACCAUUUCACUAAUAAUGACUCUCCUAGCAUUCCCAUUCCUUAUAACCUCGUCUUUAGCAUUAAAACUUGUGAUAUUAUUCCCUUGUCUUCACCUGCUUUGUUUGAUUCUGCUGCUAAGGGCAGAUAUAGGAUUAUGCCUGCGGACAUCAUCGCCUACCGGAACGCUCAGGCUGCUGCGGAGGCGGCACGGGAGGAGCCUCAACAGUGGAAUGAGUGGAUGCCCGCUCCUUAGGAUCCCUACUACCCUCUAGGCUACUAAUUGGUUUCCAACUUAGGCCAAAAGCCUAAGCUUGGGGGAGUAUGUGUUUCUCACCGACAUUACAUUCAUGUCUACACAUCAUUUGAUUCGUCGGUGUUCACACUUUUUCAUUGUAUCAUCCACGCUUAGAUUUAUUUUCUUGCUUUCUUCUUGUGUGUUUGAAAAACUUUAGAAAAACCAAAAAUUAGUUCUAGUAAUUUACUUUCUAUGCAUGCUUAGUAGUAGUAUUAAAAAGAAAAUCCAAAAAGAUUUCCUUGUUCUUCUUUUGCUUGUUGGGAGCUUUCCUGUGUAAAUAGUUUUUUCUCGUUUUUGUUUUUCCCUUUUAUUUGCCUGUUCAAGAAAACCAAAAACUCCAAAAAUAUUUCAGUGCGUUUUCUCUGAAUUUCUUUUCAUUUUAUUUGAGUUGUACCGAGGAGAAGACCACGAUGAAAAUGUUGAGUGGCUCUCAUAAGAAUAAUUGUUGAACUAAUAAAGAGCACAUUUUACCUUGUCUUCUCCUAUUGAAUAAAAUGUUUGCAGAUUCCAGCUUAGUCCACAUCAUUCUUGCACUAUUAUUAUUCUCAUAUCGUUCGGUCAUGCAAGUGAAAGGCAAUAAUGAUGAUAUUCGAUGAACUGGCCGUGGCAGAGAGAAACUGGUAUGGACUCGACUUGUUCUGUUUGUGUAAAUAUGUUUAACCUAGUAUCCAUGAUUCAGUCCAUUAUGAUUAAACAUGUUUGCAAUGACAAUUAGAGAUUAUAGUUUCUCAUGCCAUGCAUAAGUAGCUGAGAGUUGAUAAUGAUUUAUCUUGGAUAUCAACAUAGCGUUAAAAUGACUGUGAUGUAGUAUGAUGAUAUGGUAUCCUCCUCUAAAUGUUUGAGUGGCUUGACUUGGCACAUGUUCAUACAUGUAGUUGAAUCAAAACCAACAUAGCCUCUAUGAUAGUUAUGUUCAUGGUGUUCAUAUCCUACUCAUGCUAGUGUCCAAUGUUACUUAUGCAUAAUACAUGGUUAUGAUCGUUGUUGCUCUCUACCUGGCCGCUUCUCAACCUAAUUGCUAACAUUCUCCUGUACUAAGUGGGAAUUCUGCUUAUACAUCAAAAAUUUUGAACCCAAAGUUAUUCCAGAUGAGUCCACUAUACCUACCUAUAUACGGUAUUACCUUGCCGUCCUAAGUAAAUUUGCAUGUGCCACCUCUAAAAACUUCUGAAAAUUAUCCUUUUUGUGGGCCUGGAUCGUUCAUGGAACGACAAGAGGCGGUCGGUAUCUUCCAUGCUAAGCGGGUUAUUCUCAGGUCGAGUGUUUAUUCACUCGCCAUCGGAUGAGAAAAGGGCGGUAAUAGGGAUGCCCAGUCCCAAACUGCAAACAUGAAAAAGAGUUCAUCUCUGAAAUAAUCAAACAAAAACUCCUAAUGGUGUCAAAACCUUUACUUUUGUCGCUUUGGAACCGCCACUAGCGUGCUUAGCAUGGAAGAUGUUGAUAACUGAUGGUCAUGAAGUAAAUGAGAAGGGUGCAUGUCUCAAAAUAAUCAUUUACCUCUGUUUUAAAAAUUGAGCUCUGGCACCUCUGCAAAUCACUGCUUCCCUUUGCGAAGGGACUAUCUAUUUACUUUUAUGUUGUGUCAUCACCUUCUUAAACAAGAGCCAGAAACUGAGAGAGCACAAUUGUCAUGAUUUAUGCAUUGUGUGUAGCUAAUGUUGGGGGCAUCACGACUGGAUAUUUUCUACCAUGAAUUACAAUCUUUAGUCACUGCUUGAACUUUGGAGGUGCUCUGCAUUUAUGUUUUGCGGUCUCAGAAAGGGCUAGUGAGAUACCACUAUUGUCAUAUUAUAUCAUGGUUGUUUUGACAACGUGUUGCUGUUCGAGAUAUUUUAUUAUUGCUCGCUAGCUGAUUAUGUCAUUGAUAUGAGUGUUUGUAAUCUUUAAGAGUUAUUGUCGGCAUGGUUAGUUAUAAUGAUUGGCUGAAAACCUGGGUGCUAUUUAAGCUUAUUUAUGCAAACAAGAGCAAAAUAGUUCAUAAAAGUUUUUUAUCACUUUCAGUUUAUCAACUUAAUUGCUUGAGGACAAGCAAAGGUUUAAGCUCGGGGGAGUUGAUACGUCUCCAACGUAUCUACUUUUCCUAACGCUUUUCCUCUUGUUUUGGACUCUAAUUUGCAUGAUUUGAAUGAAACUAACCCCGGAAUGACGCUGUUCUCAGCAGAACUACCAUGGUGUUGUUUUUGUGCAAAAAUAGAAGUUCUCGGAAUGGAACGAAACUUUGCGAGAAUUUUCUAUAUAAUAAAUAAGAAUUUCUGGAGCCAAGAUCCACCGAAGAGGGGCACCUGGGUGGGCACAACCCACCAGGGUGCGCCCCCCUUCUCCUGGCGUGCCCAGGUGGGUUGUCCCCACCUGGUGGCCCUGCAGACCCUGAUUCCAACGCUAUAAAAUCCUAUUUUCGGAGAAAAAAAUCAGGGAGAAAGAAUAAUCGUGAUCCACGAGAUGGAGCCACCGCCAAGCCCUGUUCUUCCUCGGGAGGGUAGAUCUGGAGUCCGUUUGGGGCUCCGGAGAGGGGGAUCUUUGCUCUUCGUCAUCACCAACCCUUCUCCAUCGCCAAUUCCAUGAUGCUCCCCACCGGGAGUGAGUAAUUCCUUCGUAGGCUCGCUGGUCGGUGAGGAGUUGGGAUGAGAUUCAUCAUGUAAUCGAGUUAGUUUUGUUAGGGCUUGAUCCCUAAUAUCCACUAUGUUCUUAGAAUGAUGUUGCUAUGAAUUUGCUAUGCUUAAUGCUUGUCACUUUGGGCCUGGGUGCCAUGAACUCAGAUCUGAACCGUUUAUGUUAUCAUCAUUAUAUCCAUGUUUUAGAUCGGAUCUUGCAAGUUAUAGUCACCUACUACGUGUUAUGAUCCGGCAACCCCGUAGCGACAACAACCAGGCCCACUCCCGGUGAUGACCGUAGUUUGAGGAGUUUAUGUAUUCACUAUGUGUUAAUGCUUUGUUCCGGUUCUCUAUUAAAAGGAGGCCUUAAUAUCCCUUAGUUUCCAAUAUGGACCCCGCUGCCACAGGAGGGUAGGACAAAAGAUGUCAUGCAAGUUCUUUUAAUAAAGCACGUAUGACUAUUUACAUCGAUGAGCUGGAGCUAGUGCCGUAUCGCCCUAGGUUAUAACUGUCACAUGAUGAAUAUCAUCCAACAUGUCACCGAUCCAAUGCCUAACAAUUUAUCUUAUAUUGUUUCUGCUAAGUUACUACUGCUACCAUCACUGUUACACUUGCUACAAAAUUACUGCUAUUACUCUUACUGCUGUCACUAUUAUCAAAACUAUCAAACUACUUUGCUACUGAUCACUUUUCUACAGAUAAUUAAUCUCCAGGUGUGGUUGAAUGGACAACUCAGCUGCUAAUACCUUCAAAUAUUCUUUGGCUCCCCUUGUGUCGAAUCUAUAAAGUUGGGUUGAAUACUCUACCCUCGAAAAUGGUUGCGAUCCCCUAUACUUGUGGGUUAUCAGUGGAAUUGAUUGAAGAACUAUGUCAAUGAUACUAUCAUCAGGAAGAUUAACUCCCAUCUGAGUCAACUGGUUAUGGUACCCAGAAAUUCUGAGUAUGUGUUCACUGACAGAACUAUUCUCCUCCAUCGUGCAACUAUAGAACUUGUUGGAGACUUCAUAUCUCUCAACUCAUGCAUUUUCUUGAAAUAUUAACUUCAACUCCUGGAACAUCACAUAUGCUCCAUGACGUCCAAAACGUCUUUGAAGUCCCGAUUCUAAGCCUUAAAGCAUGGUACACUGAACUAUGGAGUAGUCAUCAGAUUUAGUUUGCCAAACAUUCAUAACGUCCGGAGUUGCUCCUGCAGCGGGCCUUGCACCUAGCAGUGCAUCAAGGACAUAAUUCUUUGUUGUAGCAAUGAGGAUAAUCCUCAAGUUACGGACCCAGUCCGUGUAGUUGCUACCAUCAUCUUUCAACUUAGCUUUCCCUAGGAACACAUUAAAAUUCAAGGGAACGGUAGCACGGGCCAUUGAUCUACAACAACAUAGAUAUGCAAAAACUAUCAGGACUAAGUUCAUGAUAAAUUAAAGUUCAAUUAAUCAUAUUACUUAAGAACUCCCACUUAGAUAGACAUCCCUCUAGUCAUCUAAAUGAUCACGUGAUCCAUAUCAACUAAACUAUGCCCGAUCAUCACGUGAGAUGGAGUAGUUUUCAAUGGUGAACAUCUCUAUGUUGAUCAUAUCUACUAUAUGAUUCAUGUUUGACCUUUCGGUCUCACUGUUCCGAGGCCAUAUCUGUAUAUGCUAGGCUCGUCAAGUUUAACCUGAGUAUUUUGUAUGUGCAAAACUGUCUUACACCCGUUGUAUGUGAACGUAGAGCUUAUCACACCCGAUCAUCACGUGGUGUCUCGGCACGACGAACUGUAGCAAUGGUGCAUACUCAGGGAGAACACUUAUACCUUGACAUUUAGUGAGGGGUCAUCUUAUAAUGCUACCGCCGUACUAAGCAAAAUAAGAUGCAUAAUAGAUAAACAUCACAUGCAAUCAGAAUAUGUGACAUGAUAUGGCCAUCAUCAUCUUGUGCCUUUGAUCUCCAUCUCCAAAGCACCGUCAUGAUCUCCAUCGUCACCGACUUGACACCUUGAUCUCCAUCGUAGCGUUGUUGUCAUCUCGCCAACUAUUGCUUCUAUGACUAUCGCUAACACAUAGUGAUAAAGUAAAGAAAUUACAUGGCGAUUGCAUUUCAUACAAUGAAGCGACAAUCAUAAGGCUUCUGCCAGUUGCCGAAAUUUUUUACAAAACAUGAUCAUCUCAUACAUCAAAAUAUAUCUCAUCAUGCCUUGACCAUAUCACAUAAACAACAUGCCUUGCAGAAACAACUUAGACGUCCUCUACUUUGUUGUUGUAAGUUUUACGUGGCUGCUACGGGCUUCUAGUAAGAACCGUUCUUACCUACGCAUCAAAAUCACAACGAUGUUUUGUCAAGUUUGCUAUUUUAACCUUCAACAAGGACCGGCCAUAGUCAAAUUCGAUUCAACUAAAGUUGGAGAAACAGACACCCGCCAGCCACCUUUAUGCAAAACAAGUUGCAUGUCUGUCAGUGGAACCGUUCUCAUGAACGUGGUCAUGUAAGGUUGGUCCAGGCCGCUUCAUCCAACAAUACUGACGAAUCAAAAUAAGAUGUUGGUGGUAAGCAAUAUGACUAUGAUCACCCACAACUAUUUGUGUUCUACUCGUGCAUAUCAUCUACGCAUAGACCCGGCUUUGAUACCACUGUUGGGGAACGUAACAUGCAAUUUCAAAAAAAUUCCUACGAUCACGCAAGAUCUAUCUAGGAGAUGCAUUACAACGAGAGGGGGAGAGUGUGUCCACGUACCCUCGUAGACAGAAAGCGGAAGCAUUAGCUUAACGCGGUUGAUGUAGUCGAACAUCUUCUCGAUUCAACGAAUCAAGCACCAAAUAUACAACACCUCCGAGUUCUGCACAAGUUCAGCUCAAUGACAUCCCUCGAACUCUUGAUCUAGCAAAGUGUCAAGGGAGAGUUUCAUUAGCACGAUGGCGUUGUGGCGGUGAUGGUGAUGUGAUCCGCGCAGGGCUUUGCCUAAGCACUACGACGAUAUGACCGGCGGAGUAAACUGUGGAUGGGGAACCACACAUGACUAAGAACAAUUGAUGUGCUUUGAGGUGCCCCCUGCCCCCGUAUAUAAAGGACGAGGGGAGGAGGCCCCCAGCCCUAGGGGCUCGUCAUGGGGGGGGGGAAACCGACUAGGACUCGUGGUCCAAGUCGCCUCCUUCCUUUUCUUGGAGGUGGAAAGGGGGAAGAAGAGGGAGAGGGGGAAGGAAAGGGGGCCGCGCCCCCGUCCCCUUGUCCAAUUCGGAUAGCCCAUGGGGGGGGGGGCACCCCUUGUGGGUUCCCCUCUCUCUCCCCUAUGGCCCAUGUAGGCGCAAUACUUCUCCGGGGGGUUCCGGUAACCUCCCGGUACUUCGAAAAAUACCCGAACCUUUCCGAAACCAUUCCGGUGUCCGAAUACUAUCGUCCAAUAUAUCAAUCUUUACCUCUCGACCAUUUCAAGACUCCUCGUCAUGUCCGUGAUCUCAUCCGGGACUCCGAACAAUCUUCGGUCACCAAAACACAUAACUCAUAAUACAAAUUGUCAUCGAACGUUAAGCAUGCGGACCCUACGGAUUCGAGAACUAUGUAGACAUGACCGAGACACAUCUCCGAUCAAUAACCAAUAGAGGAACCUAGAUGCUCAUAUUGGUUCCUACAUAUUCUACGAAGAUCUUUAUCGGUCAAACUGCAAUGACAACAUACGUAAUUCCCUUUGUCAAUGGUAUGUUACUUGCCCAAGAUUCGAUCGUCGUUAUCCUCAUACCUACUUCAAUAUUGUUACUGGCAAGUAUGUUUACCCGUUCUGUAAUGCAUCAUUCCGUAACUAACUCAUUAGUCACAUUGGUUGCAAGGCUUAUCAUGAUGUGCAUUACCGUGAGGGCCCAGAGAUACCUCUCUGAUACUCGGAGUGACAAAUCCUAAUCUUGAUCUAUGCCAACCCAACAAACACCUUUGGAGAUACAUGUAGAGCAUCUUUAUAAUCAUCUAGUUAUGUUGUGAUGUUUGAUAGCACACAAGGUAUUCCUCCGGCAUUCCGGAGUUGCCUAAUAUCAUAGUUAAAGGAAUAUGUAUAGGUCAUGAAGAAAGCAAUAGCAAUAAAACUUAACGAUCAUUAUGCUAAGCUGACGGAUGGGUCUUGUCCAUCACAUCAUUAUCCUAAUGACGUGAUCCCGUUCAUCAAAAGACAAAACAUGUCUAUGGUUGGGAAACUUAACCAUCUUUGAUAAACGAACUAGUCUAGUAGAGGCUUACUAGGGACACAGGGUUUUGUCUAUGUAUCCACACAUGUAUCAAGUUUCCGGUUAAUACAAUUCUAGCAUGAAUAAUUAACAUUUAUCAUGAUAUAAGGAAAUAUAAAAUAACAACUAUAGUAUUGCCUCUAGGGCAUAUUUCCUUCAUGUAUAACAACCACACUCGCAAACUAAUUCUAUUUCCCAAAUUCUCCUCUCUUUGAGUUCGAGGAGCAAACUUCUUUUUACUCCCCAGAGUACUAAAUCUAGAUCUUGCUUGUUGAGUCUGGAUCUUGUUUGUUGAGUCUCAAAACUGGAUCUUGCUUGUUGAGCAAUAUAUCCAUCUCAGUGCAUGUCAUGUCUUCCUUGUCAACUGAGUGGUUAGGUAGCUGGACUGGUUAUGUUUUUUUUGCUUUUUGUGUUAGCCCACGGUCUAAUUGAAAACCCACCGCACAGAGGGCCGUCCGUAGCGAAGCGCGGUUGGCCGAACUCAAAGGUGGCAGAAACCAACAUCAACAACAAUGAGAGAGAGAAAAGUUGAAGGAACAAACGGGAGAUGAUGAGUUUAACUAACAAGCCGAGGUAGACAUUAGAGAUCAGAUUCAGAUGGGCAGGGUUUUUAGAGCGGAGGGAAAACUGUUAAAGAAAUCUACAACCAAAUUGGUGGAAGAUCAAAUUGUCCUGGAAUUAAACAUGUUGUUGUCAUGCAACAACACAAGAUGAACUUCUCAGCAUGGUGGGACAUGUAUGUGCAAAUCGAUGCACUGCACCGUAGUAGGAAGCAUAUCCAAUCCAAUUCAUGAAAAUCGGAAGAGAUGGUUAUGUAGCACAUGGACCAGUGAAGAGAGCUAGAAUUAUUCAAAUAGAGGCUGGUUGUUUUUUGUUUGAUCAGUCGGUCUUUUUUCUCUUUCAAGAAUUCAGGCUUCCAUAAUUGACGAUCGGAAAUAUUUCGGUCUUCUCAGUUCUACACUAUUCGGUCUUCAAUCUUUAUAGAAAUGGUGUUCGGCCCUAAACAAACAAACCAAAUUUCAUGCUUAAGUUCAGAUUCGCAUACAUUAUAGUAGAAGUGUAUGCAAUCCGAAUUUAGACAAUAGGCAUGUGUAACAGGUGUAGAAACAAAAAUUCCUAGUUCAGACAACAUGUGUAUACAGUAGAUGUAUGCAACUAGAAUUGUGACGUAAACUUCCAGAGAAGACUGAUGACUGUGCUAAUUGUGCUAUAAACAUCCAGAGAAUUGUGUCAAUUCAGUCUAUUCAAUUUAUUCUGUCAUCCAGAAAACAAGACCGAUCCGACCGAACUUAACUCGGUCUUCUAGUUUUGACAACCGGUUUUAGCUUGGUCUUUUUUAUAGUCCGGUCUUUACGGAUUCGGUCUUGGUCUUUAUGGGUUCGGUCUUUGGUUUUAUGCACGGGCUUGCAUACGACCACAUAAUAUAAUUGUUAUCUUCCUAAAACACUUUUUUAUCAGUUUUGUCAUUGGUUGGGCCACACUACUCACUUUCCACUAAAACUUUAAACUACUCAAAAAUGUCAACCUUACAUUAAGGUGUGCCUAAAAAUUCCACUCGGCACCAUUACCGUACCGUCAAAGGCCAUUGCCCAGAAGUGACUGCUACCUCUCAAGCAUGCGUUGGUUUUCCCUUGAAGAGGAAAGGAUGAUGCAGCAAAGUAGCAUAAGUAUUUCCCUCAGUUUUUGAGAACCAAGGUAUCAAUAGAGUAGGAGGUCACACGCAAAUCGCCUCAUACCUACACAAACAAGUAAGAACCUUCCAACCAACGCGAUAAAGGGGUUGUCAAUACCUUCACGGCCACUUGCAAAAGUGAGAUCUGACAGAGAUAAUAAGAUAAAUAUUUUUGGUAUUUUUAUGUUAUAGAUUGGAAAGUAAAGAUUGCGAAAUAAACGGAAGCAAAUAUAAUAAAUUGAUAGGAAGGCAAUAUGAUGGAAGAUAGACCCGGGGGCCAUAGGUUUCACUAGUGGCUUCUCUCAAGAUUGCAUAAUUUACGGUGGGUGAACAAAUUACUGUCAAGCAAUUGAUAAAAAAGCGCAUAGUUAUGAGAUUAUCUAGGCAUGAUCAUCUAUAUAGGCAUCACGUCCAUAACAAGUAGACCGACUCCUGCCUGCAUCUACUACUAUUACUCCACACAUCGACCGCUAUCCAGCAUGAUCAUGUAUAUAGGCAUCACGUCUGUGAUAAGUAGAUCGAAACGAUUCUCCAUCUACUACUAUUACUCCACACAUCGACCUCUAUCCAACAUGCAUAUAGAGUAUUAAGUUCAUAAGAACAGAGUAACGCAUUAGGCAAGAUGACAUGAUGUAGAAGGAUAAACUCAAGCAAUAUGAUAUAAACCCCAUCUUUUUAUCCUCGAUGGCAACAAUACAAUACAUGCCUUGCUGGCCCUGCUGUCACUGGGAAAGGACACCGCAAGAUUGAAACCAAAGCUAAGCACUUCUCCCAUUGCAAGAAAGAUCAAUCUAGUAGGCCAAAUUAAACCAAUAAAUCGUAGAGACUUGCAAAGAUAACAAAUCAUACAUAUAAGAAUUCAGAGAAGAACCAAAUAUUAUUCAUAGAUAAUCUUGAUCAUAAACCCACAAUUCAUCAGAUCUCGACAAACACACCGCAAAAAGAAUUACAUCGAAUAGAUCUCUAAGAGAAUCGAGGAGAACUUUGUAUUGAGAUCCGAAGAGAGAGAAGAAGCCAUCUAGCUAAUAAUUAUGGACCCGAAGGUUUGUGGUAAACUACUCACACAUCAUCGGAGAGGCUAUGGUGUUGAUGUAGAAGCCCUCCGUGAUCGAUUCCCCCUCCGGCGGAGCGCCGGAAAAGGCUCCAAGAUGGGAUCUCACGGGUACAGAAGGUUGCCAUGGUGGAAAUAGGGUUUCGUUGUGCUCUCGGAUGUUUUUUUGGGUAUAUGAGAAUAUAUAGGCGAAAGAAGUAGGUCGGUGGAGCCACGAGGGGCCCACGAGGGUGGGGGGCGUGCCUACGCCCCAGGGCGCGCCCUCCUGCCUCGUGGCCUCCUCGUUUCUUUCUUGACGUCCACUCCAAGUCUCCUGGAUUGCGUCUGUUCCAAAAAUAACUCUCCCGAAGGUUUCAUUCCGUUUGGACUCUGUUUGAUAUUCCUUUUCUGCGAAACACUGAAAUAGGCAAAAAGAACAACAAUUUGCACUGGGCCUUGGGUUAAUAGGUUAGUCCCAAAAAUAAUAUAGAAGUGUAUAAUAAAGCCCAUUAAACAUCGAAAAUAGAUAAUAUAAUAGCAUGGAACAAUAAAAAAUUAUAGAUACGUUGGAGACGUAUCAAGCAUCCCCAAGCUUAAUUCCUGCUCGUCCUUGAGUAGGUAAAUCAUAAAACAGAAUUUUUGAUGUGGAAUGCUACCUUACAUAAUUCUCAAUGUAAUUUCCUUUGUUGUGGCAUGAAUUUUCAGAUCCGAAAGAUUCAAGAUAAAAGUUUAAUAUUGACAUAAAAAAUAAUAAUACUUCAAGCAUACUAACAAAGCAAUCAUGUCUUCUACAAAAUCAUAUAGUCUAGCUAUGCUCUAUCUUAAUCACACAAAGUAUUUAAAUCAUGCACAACCCCGGUGACAAGCCAAGCAAUUGUUUCAUACUUUUGAUGUUCUUAAACCUUUUCAAUCUUCAUGCAAUACAUGAGCGUGAGCCAUGGACAUAGCACUAUAUGUGGAAUAGAAGGGUGGUUGUGGAGAAGACAAAAAAUAAGAAGAAGAUAGUCUCACAUCAACUAGGUGUAUCAACGGGCUAUGGAGAUGCCCAUCAAUAGAUAUCAAUGUGAGUGAGUAGGGAUUGCCAUGCAACAGAUGCACUAGAGCUAUAAGUGUAUGAAAGCUCAACAAAAGAAACUAAGUGGGUGUGCAUCUAACUCGCUUGCUCACGAAGAUCUAGGGCAUUUUGACGAAGCCCAUCAUUGGAAUAUACAAGCCAAGUUCUAUAAUGUAAAAUUCCCACUAGUUUAUGAAAGUGACAACAUAGGAGACUCUCUAUCAUGAAGAUCAUGGUGGUAUGUUGAAGCACAAGUGUGGUAAGUAACAUUGUCCCUUCUCUCUUUUUCUCUCAUUUUUUUAUUUGGGCCUUUUUCUCCUGUUUUAUGUACUCUUUUUUUUUCUUUCAUCCGGAGUCUCAUCCCGACUUGUGGGGGAACCAUAGUCUCCAUCAUCCUUUCCUCACUUGGGACAAUGCUCUAAUAAUGAUGAUCAUCACACUUUUAUUUACUUACAACUCAAAAAAUUACAACUCAAUACUUAGAACAAAUACAACUCUAUGUGAAUGCCUCCAGUGGUGUACCGGGAUAUGCAAUGAAUCAAGAGUGACAUGUAUGAAAGAAUUAUAAUGGUGGCUUUGCCACAAAUACGAUGCCAACUACAUGCUCAUGCAAAGUAAUAUGACAAUGAUGAAGUGUGUCAUAACAAACGGAACGGUGGUAAGUUGCAUGGCAACAUACUAUCUCGGAAUGGCUAUGGAAAUGCCAUAAUAGGUAGGUAUGGUGACUGUUUUGAGGGAGGUAUAUGGUGGGUGUAUGAUACCGACGAAAGGUGCGGGGUAUUAGAGAGGCUAGCAAUGGUGGAAGGGUGAGCGUGCGUAUAAUACAUAGACUCAACAUUAGUCAUAAAGAACUCACAUACUUAUUGCAAAAAUCUAUUAGUUAUCGAAAUGAAGUACUACGCGCAUGCUCCUAGGGGGAUAGAUUGAUAGGAAAAGACCAUCGCUCGUCCCCGACUGCCACUCAUAAGGAAGACAAUCAAUAAUUGAAUCAUGCUCCGACUUCAUCACAUAACGGUUCACCAUACGUGCAUGCUACGGGAAUCACAAGCUUUAGAACAAGUAUUUCUCAAAUUUACAACUACUCAACUAGCAUGACUCUUAUAUCACCAUCUUCAUAUCUCAAAACAAUCAUCAAGUAUCAAACUUCUCAUAGUGUUCAAUGCACUUUUUAUGAAAGUUUUUAUUAUAUCCAUCUUCGAUGCCUAUCAUAUUAGGACUAAUUUUAUGACCAAAGCAAAUUACCAUGCUUUUCUAAGAGACUGUCAAAAUACUAUAAGUGAAGCAUGAGAGAUCAGUAAUUUCUAUAAAAUAAAACCACCACCGUGCUCUAAAAGAUAUAAGUGAAGCACAAAGAGUAUUCUAAUAAAUUCCGAUUCAUGUGUGUCUCUUCAAAAGGUGUGUACAAAAAGGAUGGUUGUGGUACUCAAAUCAUACAAGAUGCUUCAAGCAAAACACAUAUCAUGCGGUGAAUAAAAAUAUAGCCCUAAGUAAAGUUAUUGAUAGACGAAGACGAAAGAGGGGAUGCCUUCCGGGGCAUCCCCAAGCUUAGGCUUUUGGUUGUCCUUGAAUUUUACCUUGGGGUGCCUUGGGCAUCCCCAAGAUUAGUCUCUUGCCACUCUUUAUUCCAUAAUCCAUCAAAUCUUUCCCACAAAAAAAUCCAUCAAAUCUUUACCCAAAACUUGAAAACUUCACAACACAAAACUCAACAGAAAAUCUUAUGAGCUCCGUUAGUAUAAGAAAACAAAUCACCACUUUAAGGUACUGCAAUGAGCUCAUUGUUUAUUUAUAUUGGUGUUAAUCCUACUAUUCCAACUUCUCUAUGGUUCAUACCCCCCGAUACUAGCCAUAGAUUCAUCAAAAUAAGCAAGCAACACACGAAAAACAGAAUCUGUCAAAAACAGAACAAUCUGUAGUAAUCUGUAUCAAACAUAUACUUAUGUAACUCCACAAAUUCUUAAAUAAAUUGGUGGACGUGAGUACUUUGUCUAUUAAUCAUCUUAAAAAAGAAUCAACCUAAAAGAACUCUCCAUUAAAAAAUGGCAACGAAUCUCGUGAGUGCUAAAGUUUCUGUUUGUUUACAGCAAGAUCAUAAAGACUUCACCCAAGGCUUCCCAAAGGUUCUACUUGGCAUAAACACUAAUUAAAACAUAAAACCACAUCUAACCAUAGGUUAGAUGAAUUAUUUAUUACUAAACAUAAUCAAAAAGCAAGAAACAAAAAUAAAAUUGGGUUGCCUCCCAACAAGCGCUAUCGUUUAACGCCGCUAGCUAGGCAUAAAAGCGAGAAUAGAUCUAGGUAUUGCCAUCUUUGGUAGGCAAUCCAUAAGUGGCUCUCAUAAUAUAUUCAUAAGGUAAUUUAACUUUGUUUCUAGGAAAGUGUUCCAUGCCAUUCCUUAACGGAAAUUGGAAUCUAAUAUUUCCUUCUUUCAAAUCAAUAAUUGCACCAAUCGUUCUAAGGAAAGGUCUACCAAGAAUAAUAGGACAUGUAGAAUUGCAAUCUAUAUCAAGGACAAUAAAACCUACGGGCACAUAAUUCGUAUUUGCAACAAUAAUAACAUCAUUAAUCCUUCCCAUAGGUUUCUUAAUGGUGGAAUCCGCAAGAUGCAAGUUUAAAGAACAAUCAUCAAAUUCGCGGAAACCUAGCACAUCACACAAAGUUUUUGGAAUCGUGGAAACACUAGCACCCAAAUCACACAAAGCAUAUCAUUCAUGAUCUUUAAUUUUAUUUUUAAUAGUAGGUUCCCACUCAUCAUAAAGUUUUCUAGGGAUAUAGACUUCUAAUUCAAGCUUUUCUUCAUAAGUUUGCAUUAAAGCAUCAACGAUAUGUUCAGUAAAAGCUUUAUUUUGACUAUAAGCAUGAGGAGAAUUUAACACGGAUUGCAACAAGGAAAUACAAUCUAUUAAUGAACAAUUAUAAUAAUUAAAUUCCUUGAAAUCCAGAAUAGUGGGUUCAUUGCUAUGUAAAGUUUUGACCUCUUCACUCCAACUUUUACCAAUUUUUGCAUCAAGAUCUAAAAACUCCGAAUCAUUGGGACGCCUUUUAACUAAAGUUGACUCAUCUCCAGUCCCAUCAUUAUCAAGAUUCAUGUUGUAAAACAAAGAUUUAAUAGGAGACACAUCAAUCACUUUUAGAUCUUCAUCCUUAUUAUCAUGAAAACUAGAAGAACACGCUUUCAUAAAGCAAUCUUUUUUAGCACGCAUCCUAGCGGCUAUUUCCUUGCACUCAUCAAUGGAAAUUCUCAUAGCUUUGAGAGACUCAUUGAUAUCAUGCUUAGGUGGAAUAGAUCUAAGUUUCAAAGAAUCAACAUCAAGACAAAUGCUAUCCACAUUCCUAGCCAACUCAUCAAUCUUAGGAAAUUUUUCUUCAAGCAAAGCAUUGAAAUUAUUUUGCGAAAUCAUAAAUUCUUUAACACUAGUCUCAUAAUCAGAGGGCAUCUUAUUAAAAUUUCCAUAAGAGUUGUUGUAGGAAUUACCAUAAUUAUUAGAGGAAUUACUAGGGAACGACCUAGGAUUAUAGUUUCCUCUAUAUGCGUUGUUACCAAAAUUGUUGAUACCAACAAAAUUCACAUCCAUAGAUUCAUUAUUAUUCUCAAUCAAAGUAGACAAAGGCAUAUCAUUAGGAUCAGAUGAAACACUCUUAUUAGCAAACAACUUCAUAAGUUCAUCCAUCUUUCCACUUAAAACAUUAAUCUCUUCUAUUGCAUGAACUUUUUUACUAGUAGAUCUUUCGGUGUGCCAUUGAGAAUAAUUAACCAUAAUAUUAGGAGUUUAGUAGCUUCUCCUAAAGUGAUUUCCAUAAAAGUGCCUCCCGCGGCCGAAUCUAAUAGAUUUCUUGAAGCAAAAUUCAAUCCAGCAUAAAUUUUUUGUAUGAUCAUCCAUAAAUUCAAUCCAUGAGUGGGGCAAUUACGUAUCAUUAAUUUCAUCCUCUCCCAAGCUUGUGCAACAUGUGCAUGAUCAAGUUGCUUAAAAUUCAUAAUAUCAUUUCUAAGAGAGAUGAUCUUAGCGGGAGGAAAAUACUUAGAGAUUAAAGCAUCUUUGCACUUAUUCCAUGAAUCAAUACUAUUUUUAGGCAAAGACGAAAACCAAGUUUUAGCACGAUCUCUAAGUGAAAACGAAAAUAGCUUCAAUUUAACAAUAUCAUUAUCCACGUCUUUCUUCUUUUGCAUAUCACACAAAUCAACAAAGUUGUUUAGAUGUGUAGCGGCAUCUUCACUAGGAAGGCCAGAGAAUUGAUCUUUCAUGACAAGAUUUAGCAAAGCAGCAUUAAUUUCACAAGAUUCAACAUCGGUAAUAGGAGCAAUCAGAGUGCUAAGAAAAUCAUUGUUGUUGGUAUUGGAAAAAAUCACACAAUAUAGUAGUGUCUCGAGCCAUCGUGACAAACAAUCCAACACACAAGCACACCAGAGGCAAGCGAGAAGAGACGAACGGAAAAAGAGGGCGAAUAAAUGGCAAGGGUGAAGUGGGGGAGAGGAAAAUGAGAGGCAAAUGGCAAAUAAUAUAAUGCGAGGGAUAAGAGUUUGUGAUGGGUACUUGGUAUGUCUUGACUUGUGCGUAAGGCUCCCCGACAAUGGCGCUAGAAAUACUUCUUGCUACCUCUCGAGCAUGCGUUGGUUUUCCCUUGAAGAGGAAAGGGUGAUGCAGCAAAGUAGCAUAAGUAUUUCCCUCAGUUUUUGAGAACCAAGGUAUCAAUCCAGUAGGAGGUCACACGCAAAUCGCCUCGUACCUACACAAAAAAAUAAGAACCUUGCAACCAACGCGAUAAAGGGGUUGUCAAUCCCUUCAUGUCCACUUGCAAAAGUGAGAUCUGAUAGAGAUAAUAAGAUAAACAUUUUUGGUAUUUUUAUGUUAUAGAUUGGAAACUAAAGAUUGCGAAAUAAACAGAAGCAAAUAUAAUAAAUUGAUAGGAAGGCAAUAUGAUGGAAGAUAGACCCGGGGACCAUAGGUUUCACUAGUGGCUUCUCUCAAGAUUGCAUAAUUUAUGCUGGGUGAAAAAAUUACUAUCGAGCAAUUGAUAGAAAAGCGAAUAAUUAUGAUAAUAUCUAGGCAUGAUCAUGUAUAUAGGCAUCAUGUCCGCGACAAGUAGAUCGAAAUGAUUCUGCAUCUACUACUAUUACUCCACACAUCAACCGCUAUCCAGCAUGCAUCUAGAGUAUUAAGUUCAUAAGAACAGACUACCGCAUUAGGCAAGAUGACAUGAUGUAGAGGGAUAAACUCAAGCAAUAUGAUAUAAACCCCAUCUUUUUAUCCUCGAUGGCAACAAUACAAUAUGUACCUUGCUGCCCCUGCUAGCACUAGGAGAGGACACCGCAAGAUUGAACCCAAAGCUAAGCACUUCUGCCAUUGCAAGAAAGAUCAAUCUAGUAGGCCAAACUAAACCAAUAAUUCGGGGGGACUUGCAAAGAUAACAAAUCAUACAUAUAAGAAUUCAGAGAAUAACCAAAUAUUAUUCAUAGAUAAUCUUGAUCAUAAACCCACAAUUCAUCCAAUCUCGACAAACACACCGCAAAAAGAAUUGCAUCGAAUAGAUCUCCAAGAGAAUCGAGGAGAACUUUGUAUUGAGAUCCAAAGAGAGAGAAGAAGCCAUCUAGCUAAUAACUGUGGACCGAAGGUCUGUGGUAAACUACUCACACAUCAUCGGAGAGGCUAUGGUGUUGAUGUAGAAGCCCUCCGUGAUCAAGUCCCCCUCCGGCGGAGCGCCGGAAAAGGCUCCAAGAUGGGAUCUCACGGGUACAGAAGGUUGCGAUGGUGGAAAUAGGGUUUUGUUGUGCUCUCGGAUGCUUUUGGAGUAUAUGAGAAUAUAUAGGCAAAAGAAGUAGGUCGGUGGAGCCACGAGGGGCCCACGAGGGUGGGGGCGCGCCUACCCCCCUUGGGCGCGUCCUCCUGCCUCGUGGCCUCCUCGUUUCUUUCUUGACGUCCACUCCAAGUUUCCUGGAUUGCGUUUGUUCCAAAAAUAACUCUCCAGAAGGUUUCAUUCCAUUUGGACUCCGUUUGAUAUUCCUUUUCUACGAAACACUGAAAUAGGCAAAAAAUAGCAAUUUGCACUGGGCUUUGGGUUAAUAGGUUAGUCCCAAAAAUAAUAUAAAAGUGUAUAAUAAAGCCCAUUAAACAUCCAAAGCAGAUAAUAUAAUAGCAUGGAACAAUAAAAAAUUAUAGAUACGUUGGAGACGUAUCAGUGACAAAAAUACGCUGGACCCAGUUGUUAGUGUUCCCUUUACAACUCAUUGUAACCUGUGAUCGAUUCCCCAUUUUUUGAAAAGGGGUCAGCCCCGACCUCUGCAUCAGAAUGAUGCAUACGACCAAAUUAUUAAUAAUAAGCAAAAUGUUCAACAAAAGUUCAGGUCUCUAUAGUAAAGAAGCUCACAAAGAGCAAAAGCAACAUGACAGGAUAGCCACAACCGGCAGGCCAAAAAAUAUAAGAUAAGAAACUAAACACCUACCCUAUUACAUGACCGCCGUCCAAACCGGUUGAAUAUAUCCCAAGCUACCGUCUCCCAUUGGAUAGAUCCAGUAACCAAACACUCCCUGGCCUCCGUCGGAGUAAGUAGCGAUCACAUACGGAUGAGUGUAGUGGCCCGGAAGAUAACCUAUAGGAAAUGAUUUUUUGUUGUUAUUUUGAAAACCAAAUCAUUUCUGCAGUUCCAGACUACCCAAAAUAAAGCACAUACUCCUACAUGGAUAUGUCUCACAGUUUCAGAGUCUAACCCAUCUAACAACGUCCCAAAUAACGUGUUGAUGGUAUUUGGAGGAGUAAUAUUAAAAGCUAGGUGUACUGUCCGCCACAAAUUUUUUCCAAGGGACAGUCGAGAAAGAGGUGUUUGAUGGAUUUGUCCGUAUCACAGAAACUACAUCUUGUAGAUCCUGCCAAUUGCGUUUUGCCAAAUUGUCCUUAGUUAGAAUGACUUGUUUAUGGACAAACCACACAAACACUUUGAUUUUUAAAGGCACUUUGACUUUCCACACAUGUUUCAAACGAGGAGUGGCGCUAGAGUUGAUAACAUCCAAAUACAUGGAUUUAACAGAAAACUCUCCAUUCUUUGUUAGUUUCCAGCUCAACUGAUCGGGUUGUUGAGAAAGGUGGACCUCCAUCAAUCUUCCCACAAGGUGAAUCCAAACUUCCCAACGAUUUCCCGCUAGAGUCCUCCUAAAUUGAAUAUUUAGAGGAUUUGGCUGUAAUACUGUUGCAAUUUAAGCUUCUCUUCGCUGCAUAAUAUUAUAAAGAGAAGGAUAUUGGAGUGCAAGGGGUGUCUCCCCUAGCCAUGUGUCCUCCCAGAACCUCGUGGUAGUACCAUUUCCAACUACAAAUUUUGUCCUGUUGAAAAAGGCUGAUUUCACUUUCAGCAGUCCUUUCCAAAAAGGUGAAUCAGUCGGCCUCACCGUCACCUGGGAUAGUGUUUUGGAAUGAAGGUACUUGUUUCGCAGGAUUUGGGGCCAUGUGGCACCCGUCUCUACAGAUACCUUAUACAACCACUUGCUGAGUAAACAUCUGUUCUUCACCUCUAGGUUUUCAAUGCCGAGACCCCCUUGGUCUUUCGGUCUACAAAUGAUAUCCCAUUUAGCGAGUCUGUAUUUUCGUUUCAAUUCAUCACUCUGCCAGAAGAAGCGCGAUCGAUAGAAGUCUAGCAUUUUUCGGACUCCAACUGUGUCGGUGUACUAGAGUAGGGGUAUCCUAGUAUCCCGAACUUGUGCACGGGCAGUUGCAGCACCCCGCGGCAAGGCUUACCGGGCGACCGCCAAGGUCCUCCAUGGUUCCUUUGGAGACAUUCAAGAACAAAGUAUUCAAGCCUAGGAGACAAGGCCCCGGCAAGAGGAGCUUGCCGGGAAGGCCAACCAAGGCAUCCCAAGGCCUGGUGAGCGACAAGCUUCCGGACCCGACAAGACAACGGCCGCGGCAGGCGGCCACUCUGUACCCACACUCCAGCACAUCCACCAACGUGUUGUCCUGGAGGCCUUUCCAGGCGCGCGUGGCGGGAGGCUGUGCAGCCAGCGGUGCGCGGUGGCAUGCGAAGCUGACAAGACUGCCAUCGUGGCGAGCGGUGGCGUCCCUGACGGUACCUUUCUGCACUGUUUGGGCGACACAGACGGGCAUUUAAUGCCCUUGUCCCCUGCCGUCAGGGUUAGGUAGGAUACACUGUACAGGUAGCUGUACCAACCACCUCUCUUUUUACAUUUUUACCCUUGUCUACGUUGCCACCUGUCGGUGACCCCUUUAGCGUAUAAAAGGAGGCCCAUGCGCAACGUAGAAGGGGUUCGACUCAUUGAUAAGCCAGAAAAACACUUAGCUAGCUCUCCCGAGCAAGAACAAAAUACAAUCAGACAAGCAGCAGUAGGAGUGUUAUCUCUUCAGAGAGCUCCGAAGCUGGGUAAAUUGCUCGUGUGCUUCGCCUCGAUCCGCUCUUCGUGCGAUCUCCGCCCCCCGCCGAACCGAAAGGGGCCACGGUCCGCCGGCCCCAUAGGUGUUCGUGGAUCAGUUUCCCCGACAAACUGGUACCUCAAAAAAAGACAAGAGAAACAUAGGCAUACUCGUAAGAACCAAAUUAAUGAGAAUUAAUCGGCCUCCGUAUGACAUAAGCUUGACCUUCCAGCAGCUUAGUUUCUUUUCAAAUUGAUCCUCAAUGCACUUCCAUUCUUUGUUAGAAAGCUUGCGAUGGUGAAUUGGUAUACCCAAAUACGCGAAGGGUAAAGACCCCAAUUCACAGCCAACCAAUUGUUUGUAAGCUUCUUGUUCAUCUUUAGCUCUUCCAAAGCAGAACAAUUCGCUUUUGUGGAAGUUAAUCUUUAACUCCGAUAAUUGUUCAAACAGACAUAACACAAGCUUCAUGUUUCUUACUUCUGCCAAAUCAUGCUUCAAUAGGAGGUAAAUUCUUAACAUCUUCAGCUUUAAUACCUUUUUCUUUCAUUGAUUUCUUUGCCUCUUGCAUAUCUUCAGGACUGAGAAAUAAAACACCUCUCUUCUUCGGAGUGGGUUUAGGAAUAGGCUCGGGAGUUGGCUCAAUUGGUUCAGGAAUUACUUCAGGAAUUGGCUCGGGAAGAGUCCAAUUAUUUUCAUUAGUCAACAUAUUAUUCAAUAGUAUUUCAGCUUUGUCGACUGUUCUUUCCCUGAAAACACAACCAGCACAACUAUCCAAGUAGUCCUUGGAAGCAUCGGUUAGUCCAUUAUAAAAGAUAUCAAGUAUUUCAUUUUUUCUUAAGAGGAUGAUCAGGCAAAGCAUUAAGUAAGCGGAGAAGCCUCGCCCAAGCUUGUGGGAGACUCUCUUCUUUGAUUUGCACAAAAUUAUAUAUUCCCCGCAAGGCAGCUUGUUUCUUAUGAGCAGGGAAAUAUUUAGCAGAGAAGUAAUAAAUCAUAUCCUGGGGACUACGCACACAACCAGGAGCAAGAGAAUUAUACCAAGUCUUAGCAUCACCCUUUAAUGAGAACGGAAAUAUCUUAAGGAUAUAUAAAUAACGAGACUUCUCAUAAUUAGUAAACAGGGUGGCUAUAUCAUUCAAUUUGGUCAGAUGUGCCACAACAGUUUCAGAUUCAAGGCCAUAAAAAGGAUCAGAUUCAACUAAAGUAAUAAUAUCUGGAUCAACAGAGAAUUCAUAAUCCUUAUCAGUAACACAGAUAGGUGAAGUAGCAAAAGCAGGAUCGGGUUUCAUUCUAGCAUUAAGAGACCGCUGCUUCCAUUUAGCUAAUAAUUUCUUAAGAUCAUUUCUAUCAUUGCAAGAAAGAAUUUCCAUAGCAGCUGUUUCAUGCAUAACAUAACCCUUAGGAACAACAGGUAAAACAUAAUCAUUGGGGGGACCUUCAUCAUCACUAUCAUCAGUAAUAGGAUCUUCAGUAAUUUCAUUCCCCCUAAAUCUAGCAAGUUGUUCAUCAAGAAAUUCACCUAAUGGCAAAGUAGUAUCACGCACAGAAGUAGUUUCAUCAUGCAUAGCAGAAGUGGCAUCAUCAAUAACAUGCGACGUAUCAGAAUUCAUAGCUGUAGUAGGUUUAGGUGUCGCAAGCCUACUAAUAACGGAAGGAGAAUCUAGUGCAAAGCUAGAUGGCAGUUCCUUACCUCCCCUCGUAGUUGAGGGCAAAAUAGUAGUUCGAUCGUCUUUCAAGUUCUUCAUAGUGAUCAACAGAUAUAAAUCCCAAGUGACUCAGAGAAUAGAGCUAUGCUCCCCGGCAACGGCGCCAGAAAUUAGUCUUGAUAACCCACAAGUAUAGGGGAUCGCAACAGCUUUUGAGGGUAGAGUAUUCAACCCAAAUUUAUUGAUUCGACACAAGGGGAGCCAAAGAAUAUUCUUGAGUAUUAGCAGUUGAGUUGUACAUUCAACCACACCUGGAUAACUUAGUAUCUGCAGCAAAGUGUUUAGUAGCAAAAGUGGUAUGAUAAUAAAGGUAACGGUAGCAAAAGUAAAGAUAAAUGUUUUUGGGUUUUUGUAGUAGUUCUAAUAGUAGCAACAGAAAAGUAAAUAAGCAAAGAACAAUAUGUGAAAAGCUCGUAGGCAAUGGAUCAGUGAUGGAUAAUUAUGCCGGAUGCGAUUCCUCAUGCAAUAGUUAUAACAUAGGGUGAUAUAGAACUAGCUCCAAUUCAUCAAUGUAAUGUAGGCAUGUAUUCCAUAAAUAGUCAUACAUGCUUAUGGAAAAGAACUUGCAUGACAUCUUUUGUCCUACCCUCCCGUGGCAGCGGGGUCCUUACGGAAACUAAGGGAUAUUAAGGCCUCCUUUUAAUAGAGAACCGGACCAAAGCAUUAACACAUAGUGAAUACAUGAACUCCUCAAACUACGGUCAUCACCGAGAAGUAUCCCGAUUAUUGUCACUUUGGGGUUGUCGGAUCAUAACACAUAAUAGGUGACUAUAGACUUGCAAGAUAGGAUCAAGAACACACAUAUAUUCAUGAAAACAUAAUAGGUUCAGAUCUGAAAUCAUGGCACUCAGGCCCUAGUGACAAGCAUUAAGCAUAGCAAAGUCAUAUCAAAGUCAUAGAUAGAUCAUAUAACAAUCCCUCAACAUGCAACAAAGAGUCACACCAAAGCCACUAAUAGCGGAGAAGAAAUGUAGUGAUUAUGGUAGGGUACGAAACCACCUCAAAGUUAUUCUUUCAGAUCGAUUUAUUCAAGAGUUCGUACUAGAAUAACACCUUAAGACACAAAUCAACCAAAACCCUAAUGUCACCUAGAUACUCCAUUGUCACCUCAAGUAUCCGUGGGCAUGAUUAUAUGAUAUGCAUCACACAAUCUCAGAUUCAUCCAACCAACACAAAGUCAUUCAAAGAGUGCCCCAAAGUUUCUACCGGAGAGUCAAGAACGUGUGCCAACCCCUAUGCAUAGGUUCAUGGGCGGAACCCGCAAGUUGGUUACCAAAACAUACAUCAAGAGGCACGUGAUAUCCCAUUGUCACCACAGAUAAACACGGCAAGACAUACAUCAAGUGUUCUCAAAUAAAGACUCAAUCCAAUAAGAUAACUUCAAGAGGGAAACUCAAUUCAUCACAAGAGAGUAGAGGGGGGAGAAACAUCAUAAGAUCCAACUAUAAUAGCAAAGCUCGCGAUACAUCAAGAUUGUGUGAAGUCGAGAACACGAGAGAGAGAGAUCAAACACAUAGCUAUUGGUACAUACCCUCAGCCCCGAGGGUAAACUACUCCCUCCUCAUCAUGAAGAGCGCCGGGAUGAUGUAGAUGGCCACCGGUGAUGGAUUCCCCCUCCGGCAGUGUGCCGGAACAGGCUCCCGAGAGGUUUUUGGUGGCUACAGAGGCUUGCGGAGGCGGAACUCCUGAUCUAUCUUGAUUUUCGAUGGUUUUAGGGUACGUAGGCAUAUAUAGGCGAAAGAAGUCGGUCGGGAGGUGCUUGAGGGGUCCACGAGACAGGGGGCUGCGCCCUAUAGGGGGGUGCCCCCUAUCUCCUGGGCUCCUCGAGGGUCUUCUGACUUGAUCUCCAAGCCUCCAGGAUGAUAUUCUUCCAAAAAAAUCAUGAUGCCGAAGGUUUCAUUCUAUUUGGACUCCGUUUGAUAUUCCUUUUCUUCGAAAUAUUGAGACAGGCAAUAAAACAACAAUGUGGGCUGGGCCUCCGGUUAGUAGGUUAGUCCCAGAAAUGAUAUAAAUAUGUAAAAUAAAGCCCAUAAACAUCCAAAAGGGGUAAUAUAAUAGCAUGGAACAAUCAAAAAUUAUAGAUACGUUGGAGACGUAUCAAGCAUCCCCAAGCUUAAUUCCUGCUCGUCCUCGAGUAGGUAAAUGGUAAAAACAGAAUUUUUGAUGUGGAAUGCUACCUAGCAUAAUUCUCAAUGUAAUUUUCUUUAUUGUGGCAUGAAUGUUCAGAUCCAAAUGAUACAAAAUAAAAGUUCAUAUUAACAUGAAAAUGGUGAUACUUCAAGCAUACUAAUCAAAGUAAUCAUGUCUUCUCAAAAUAACAUGGCUAAAGAAAGUUAUCCCUACAAAAUCAUAUAGUCUGGCUGUUGCUCUAUCUUCAUCACACAAAAUAUUUAAUCAUGCACAACCCCGAUGACAAGCCAAGCAAUUGUUUCAUACUUUAAUAAUCUCAAACUCUUUCAACUUUCACGCAAUACAUGAGCGUGAGCCAUGGACAUAGCACUAUAUGUGGAAUAGAAUGGUGGUUGUGGAUAAUACAAAAAGGAGAAGAUAGUCUCACAUCAACUAGGCGUAUCAACGGGCUAUGGAGAUGCCCAUCAAUAGAUAUCAAUGUGAGUGAGUAGGGAUUGCCAUGCAACAGAUGCACUAGAGCUAUAAAUAUAUGAAAGCUCAACAAAAGAAACUAAGUGGGUGUGCAUCCAACUUGCUUGCUCACGAAGACCUAGGGCAUUUUGAGGAAGCCCAUCAUUGGAAUAUACAAGCCAAGUUCUAUAAUGAAAAAUUCCCACUAGUAUAUGAAAGUGACAACAUAUGAGACUCUCUAUCAUGAAGAUCAUGGUGCUACUUUGAAGCACAAGUGUGUAAAAAGAGAUAAUAGCAUUGUCCCUUCUCUCUUUUUCUCUCAUUUUAUUUUAUUUCUUUUUCUUUUUUUCCUUUUUCUCUUUUUUGUUUUUUCUUUGGCCUUUCUCUUUUUUUUCUUUUUGGCUUUUUUUUGUAAAGUCCGAAGUCUCAUCCCGACUUGUGGGGGAAUCAUAGUCUUCAUCAUCCUUUCCUCACUAAGACAAUGCUCUAAUAAUGAAGAUCAUCACACUUUUAUGGAUUUACAACUCAAAGCUAGAACAAGAUAUGACUCUAUAUGAAUGCCUCCGGCGGUGUACCAGGAUAUGCAAUGAAUCAAGAGCGACAUGUAUGAAAAUUAUGAAGGUGGCCUUGCCACAAAUACUAUGUCAACUACAUGAUCAUGCAAAAAGCAAUAAGACAAAAUUAAUGCGUGUCAUGAUGAUGAUGAACGGAACGAUGGAAAGUUGCAUGGAAAUAUAUCUCGGAAUGGCUAUGGAAAUGCCAUAAUAGGUAGGUAUGAUGGCUGUUUUGAGGAAGGUAAAUGGUGAGUAUAUGGUACCGGCGAAAGUUGCGCGGUACAAGAGAGGCUAGCAAUGGUGGAAGGGUGAAAGAGUGCAUAUAAUCCAUGAACUCAACAUUAAUCAAAAGAACUCAUAUACUUAUUGCAAAAAUUUAGAAGUCAUCAAAAACCAAAGCACUACGUGCAUUCUCCUUGGGGGAUAUAUUGGUAGGAAAAGACCAUCGCUCGUCCCCGACCGCCACUCAUAAGGAAGACAAUCAAUAAAUAAAAUUGUGCUCCAACUUCAUCACAAAGUGAUUCACCAUACGUGCAUGUUACGGGAAUCACAAACUUCAACACAAGCAUUCUUUAAAUUCAUAAUCACCCAACUAGCAUGACUUUAAUAUCACUACCUCCAUAUCUCAAAACAAUUAUCAAGUAUCAAAUUGAUCAUAGCAUCCAAUUCACUUCCUAUGAUAGUUUUCAUUAUACCCAACUUGGAUGCCUACCAUUCUAGGACCAAUUUUGAGAUCAUAGCAAAUACCAUGCUGUUCUAAAAGACUCUCAAAAUAAUAUAAGUGAAUCAUGAGAGACUAGCAAUUUCUACAAAAUAUAAACACCGCCGUGCUCUAAAAUAUAUAAGUGAUGCACUAGAGCAAAUGAAAAACUACUCCGAAAGAUAUAAGUGAAGAACAAUGAGUAGCUAAAUAAUUAUGUAACUAUGCGAAGACUCUCUAACAUUAAGGAAUUUCAUAUCUUGGUAUUGUAUUCAAACAUCAAGCAAAACAAAAUAAAAUUACAUUGCAAGGAUAGCACAACUCAUGUGAAGAAGCAAAAACUUAGGCUCAACCGAUACUAACCGAUAGUUGUUGAAGAAGAAAGGUGGGAUGCCUACCGGGGCAUCCCCAAGCUUAGAUGCUUGAGACUUCUUGAAAUAUUUUCUUGAGGUGCCUUGGGCAUCCCCAAGCUUGAACUUUUGUCUCUCCUUAAUUCCUCUCAUAUCAUGGUUUCUCUAUUUCUCAAAAAGCUUCAUUCACAACAAACUCAACAAGAACUCGUGAGAUAGGUUAGUAUAAACCAAUGCAAAACCUUAUCAUUUUCUACUGUAGCAAAUCAUUAAAAUUAUUAUUCAAAAUUUCAUACUAAAUGCCUCUGCAUAUUUAAUACUCCUAUCCUCAAAUAGAAUCAUUAAACAAGCAAACAUAUGCAAACAAUGCAAACAUAACAGCAAUCUGCCAAAACAGUACAGUCUGUAAAGAAUGCAAGAGUAUCAAUACUUCCCUAACUCCAAAAAUUAUGAAAUAAAAUUCCCACUGCAGUAAAUUUAUCAGAGAUCAUUAUGAAAAAAGUUUCAACAUUAUAUCGUGCUCUGACUUUUCUAGGGAAUUUUUGCAACAGCGGUAAACUUUCUGUUUUCAAACAGCAACAUGUAUACUAGCAAAAUAAGCAUGGCAAAGGCUAUCCUUGACAUUUUUAUUGAAAAUAAAGAUGAAAAACAUUAAUCUAAACAACAGCAAGCAAAUACUAACACAAGAAAAUGACUCUCCAAGCAAAACACAUAUCAUGUGGUGAAUAAAAAUAUAGCUCCAAGUAAAGUUACCGAUGAACGAAGACGAAAGAGGGGAUGCCUUCUGGGGCAUCCCCAAGCUUAGGCUCUUGGUUUUCCUUGAAUAUUACCUUGGGGUGCCUUGGGCAUCCCCAAGCUUAGGCUCUUGCCACUCCUUAUUCCAUGGUCCAUCAAAUCUUUACCCAAAACUUGAAAACUCCAUAACACAAAACUCAACAGAAAACUCGUAAGCUCCGUUAGUAUAAGAAAAUAAAACAACCACUUAGGUACUGUAAUGAACUCAUUCUAAAUUCAUAUUGGUGUAAUAUCUACUGUAAUACAACUUAUCUAUGGUUCAUAACCUCCGGUACUACUCAUAGAUUCAUCAAAAUAAGCAAACAACACAUAGAAAACAGAAUCUGUCAAAAACAGAACAAUCUGUAGUAAUCUGUAUCAAACGUAUGCUUCUGGAACUCCAAAAAUCCUACCAAAUUAGGAAGUCCUAAGAAAUUUGUGUACCAAUCCAGAGAAAAAAUAAUCAGAUCAGAAGCACGUUUCUAUGUAUUAACAAAACUAAAUUACUGGGUGCAAAAGUUUCUGAUUUUCAGCAGGAUCAACACAACUAUCACCGUAAGCUAUCCUAAAGGUCUUACUUGGCACUUUAUUGAAACAAAAGCUAUAAAACAUGAUUACUACAGUGGCAUAAUCAUGUGAACACACAAAAACAGUAAGGAUAAAUGUUGGGUUGUCUCCCAACAAGCGCUUUUCUUUAAUGCCUUUCUAGCUAGGCAUGAUGAUGGCAAUGAUGCUCACAUAAAAGAUAAGAAUUGAAACAUAACGGGAGUAUCAUGAAGCAUACGACUAGCACAUUUAAGCCUAACCCACUUCCUAUGCAUAGGGAUUUUGUGAGCAAACAACUUAUGGGAACAAUAAUCAACUAGCAUAGGAUGGUAAAAUAAGCAUAGCUUCAAAACUUGAAGCACAUAGAGAGGAAACUUGACAUUAUUACAAUUCCUACAAGCAUAUAUUCCUCCCUUAUAAUAAUUUUUAGUAGCAUCAUGAAUGAAUUCAACAAUAUAACCAGCAACCAAAGCAUUCUUUUCAUGAUCUACAAGCAUAGAAAAUUUACUACUCUCCACAUAAGCAAAAUUCUUCUCAUCAAUAUUCGUGGGAGCAAACUCAACAAAAUAAUUAUCAUGUGAGGCAUAAUCCAAUUGAAAACUAAAAUCAUGAUGACAAGUUUCAUGGUUAUCAUUAUUCCUAAUAGCAUACAAGUCAUCACAAUAAUCAUCAUAGAUAGCAACUUUGUUCUCAUAAUCAAUUGGAACCUCUUCCGAAAUAGUGGAAUCAUCACUAAAUAAAGUUGACACUCUUCCAAAUCCACUUUCAUAUUCAUCACAAUAAGAUUCAACAUCCUCCAAAAUAGUGGGAUCACUACUUCCUAAAGUUGACACUCUUCCAAACCCACUUUCAUCAAUAUAACCAUCAUAAAUAAUAGGCAUGCUAUCAUCAUAAUAAAUUUGCACAUCAAAACUUGGGGGGCUAAAAAUGUCAUAUUCAUCAAACAUAGCUUCCCCAAGCUUGUGGCUUUGCAUAUCAUUAGCAUCAUGGAUAUUCAAGAAAUUCAUACUAACAACAUUGCAAUCAUGCUCAUCAUACAAAGAUCUAGUACCAAGCAUUUUAAUGCAUUCUUCUUCUAACACUUGAGCACAAUUUUCCUUUCCAUCAUUCUCACGAAAGAUAUUAAAAAGAUAAAGCGUAUGAGACAAACUUAACUCCAUUUUUUGUAGUUUUCUUUUAUAAACUAAACUAGUGAUAAAACAAGAAACAAAAAGAUUCGAUUGCAAGAUCUAAAGAUAUACCUUCAAGCACUCACCUCCCCGGCAACGGCGCCAGAAAAGAGCUUGAUGUCUACUACACAACCUUCUUCUUGUAGACGUUGUUGGGCCUACAAGUGCACAGGUUUGUAGGACAGUAGCAAAUUUCCCUCAAGUGGAUGACCUGAGGUUUAUCAAUCCGUGGGAGGCGUAGGAUGAAGAUGGUCUCUCUCAAAAAACCCUGCAACCAAAUGACAAAGAGUCUCUUGUGUCCCCAACACACCCAAUACAAUGGUAAAUUGUAUAGGUGCACUAUUUCGGCAAAGAGAUGGUGAUACAAGUGCAAUAUGGAUAGUAGAUAUAGGUUUUUGUAAUCUGAAAAUAUAAAAACAGCAAGGUAACUAAUGAUAAAAGUGAGCGUAAACGGUAUUGCAAUGAUAGGAAACAAGGCCUAGGGUUCAUACUUUCACUAGCGCAAGUUCUCUCAACAAUAAUAACAUAGAUAGAUCAUAUAACCAUCCCUCAACAUGCAACAAAGAGUCACUCCAAAGCCACUAAUAGCGGAGAACAAACGUAGAGAUUAUGGUAGGGUACGAAACCACCUCAAAGUUAUUCUUUCGGAUCGAUCUAUUCAAGAGUUCGUACUAGAAUAACACCUUAAGACACAAAUCAACCAAAACCCUAAUGUCACCUAGAUACUCCAUUGUCACCUCAAGUAUCCGUGGGCAUGAUUAUACGAUAUGCAUCACACAAUCUCAGAUUCAUCCAACCAACACAAAGUACUUCAAAGAGUGCCCCAAAGUUUCUACUAGAGAGUCAAGAACGUGUGCCAACCCCUAUGCAUAGGUUCAUGGGCGGAACCCGCAAGUUGGUUACCAAAACAUACAUCAAGAGGCACGUGAUAUCCCAUUGUCACCACAGAUAAACACGGCAAGACAUACAUCAAGUGUUCUCAAAUAAAGACUCAAUCCAAUAAGAUAACUUCAAGAGGGAAACUCAAUUCAUCACAAGAGAGUAGAGGGGGGGGGGGAGAAACAUCAUAUGAUCCAACUAUAAUAGCAAAGCUCGCGAUACAUCAAGAUCGUGUGAAGUCGAGAACACGAGAGAGAGAGAUCAAACACAUAGCUACUGGUACAUACCCUCAGUCCCGAGGGUGAACUACUCCCUCCUCGUCAUGGAGAGCGCCGGGAUGAUGAAGAUGGCCACCGGUGAUGGAUCCCCCCUCCGGCAGGGUGUCGGAACGGGCUCCCGAGAGGUUUUUGGUGGCUACAGAGGCUUGCGGCAGCGGAACUCCCUAUCUAUCUUGGUUUUCGAUGGUUUUAGGGUACGUAGGCAUAUAUAGGCAAAAGAAGUCGGUCGGGAGGUGCUCGAGGGGUCCACGAGACAAGGGGCCUCGCCCUGUAGGGGGGGGGGGCGCCCCCUAUCUCCUGGGCUCCUCGAGGGUCUUCUGACUUGAUCUCCAAGCCUCCAGGAUGACAUUCUUCCAAAAAAUCACGAUGCCUAAGGUUUCAUUCCGUUUGGACUCCGUUGAUAUUCCUUUUCUUCGAAAUACUGAAACAGGCAAUAAAACGACAAUAUGGGCUGGGCCUCCGGUUAGUAGGUUAGUCCCAAAAAUGAUAUAAGUAUGUAAAAUAAAGCCCAUAAACAUCCAAAAGGGGUAAUAUAAUAGCAUGGAACAAUCAAAAAUUAUAGAUACGUUGGAGACGUAUCAUCGGAGCCUGUGACGGCGGCGUCUGUGGACGACGUAACCUUCUUGAAGGCAACGGUAGGAUGCUCUCUGUUCCUCUAAGAGGGACAGCUCCGGGGGAAACCCCAGACCCGAAGGGUCGAUCGUUGGUGGUGUGUUGGCGUUGUUUCCCUCUUGAGGGCAUCAAUUUUGGAGUUCACAAUCCGGUCAAAGGGACCAGCGGGUGUGUUGGGAGGUUGGUGGUAUGCAUUGGUGUGGCGUCGAGGCUUCUGUGGCCACGACGAUAGGGCAAGUGAAGUCGGUGACAUUGCAGUGGUAGCCGGCUCUUCUUCGGUGUGUUCGUGGGAUUACCUUGGUUUGGUUGUUGUGGUGAAGUCGGAGUUGCGGCAGCGGGACCCAUGUGGCAACAAUGACAGGCAGCAGGUGGUCUAUUUGGUGGUCUUCCAUGACACAAGUCUUGCAUAGUUCUCCUUUGGAUCUUGCUUCAGAGUCGGAGCUGCAUCACCCUCAAUGCGGGUGGUUGAGUUUUGGCAUGGAUCUUCAUGUUUUCCUACACAGCCUCUGUGGUGAGUGUUGGUUCGACGUUCGUCCACGGCGAAGUCGAAGUCGCUUGCUCGGGGAUUAGGGAUGGCGAUGAUGCAUGUUUGGGGAGAAGUGAUGAUGAUGAUGUUCUUCUGCAUAUAUGCGCUCCUCAACGCCCUCACCAUCGUCUUCGGCAUGGCAGUCGGCUACAUAGCCGUCGACUACUUCGACGUGUCGUGCAGCCAGGUGACCCUCUCGCUCGCAUGCUUGACAGCUUCACAUUGCGCCAAGCUGAUAUAUGGUGUUCCUCUGUAGCUCUCCUCCAUUCUGCCGUGUGUUGAGCUGACGGACGCGGAGUCCGCCUGGUUGGCCGCCCUCUCAACCAGGAUUCUGUGCUGCGCCCCAACCUAGGCGGCCGCAGCGGCGAUGGUGCUGCUGCUCCCAUGCCGCGUUGCCAGGCCCGCCGCGCCCUCGCCUACCUCGCGCUCGCGGUCACCUUCCUCUUCCAUUGCAUCUACGCCGGCGCCGUUUGGAUCUUCCUCGCUGCCGACCCAGGAUACAUCUUCGGCAAGAUCUUUUUUACCGUGGUCAUCUGCCUCAUCCUGGUGUGCAAUCUGACCUGCCUGUCUGAUCUCCUUUAAGGUGAUGGGUGGGGCAAGCAGUAGGCAGUACACUGCCUAAUAGUUCAGCUAGCAGCAAGCUGCAAGGGAUCAUGUUCGUGGUCGUGGACCAGCUCAUGAGGUACAUAUGAGAGCGUAGUUCUAGGGAAUAAUGUAGAGUAUGCAUGCAUUACUUCUGCUGUGACGAUUGAUGGAGUACUGCUGUAUUUGCGAAUCUAGUAGCUGGUCUAGUGUUAAUAUCUAGAUCGACUCCAUUUGAGCAAUGCUUUGCUGGCUAUAUAAUUAGACUCGAUGAAUUGUGGCUAUGUUUGAUGUAUUCGACCUUAAUUUUCUCUAUAUGUGAUCGUCAGACAUGAGUUAUAUGCUUAUUUAGCACCAGCUACGGUAUAAUUGAUGUUGCUGAAAUUGCUGCUGCAGUGUAUAUCCAUGUUGCUG
This 61279-nucleotide long non-coding RNA is filed under the name Triticum aestivum (bread wheat). Its description in RNAcentral is "long non-coding RNA (TAES_LNC027587)". The record is from RNAcentral. Lineage: Eukaryota; Viridiplantae; Streptophyta; Magnoliopsida; Poales; Poaceae.